GGAGGUUGGGCCAGAGAGAGGAGAGAGGUGCUUUUCAGAAGGGCAGAGAGAGAUAUGUUUUGGGUGCUGGGAAGCUUGAGAGAAGAAAGGAAGCAAGGUUAGCCAAAGAAGAGGAGAUUGAGUUUUUACAGAAGGAGAUUUUUUAUUUUUUUUUUGGGAAGGAGUUUUGAACCAUGAGUGCAGGGGACCGUAUUCUGUAGAGGGUUACAGAGAGGUUUUUGUUUGGUUUGGAGGGAAAGCUACCGGAGGGGGGGGAGCUCUUUCUGGCGAGGCUACUAGUUACAGGAAAGGAUAAACUCGGCAGUCUCCUUGCUCAUUUCAGCUGGAGGGGAGCCUUUCAGGUGCGUUUUCUGGACCACAUACUUAUUGCAGUUGAUUUUCUUGAUAUUGUUGUGAUUAUGUUAUAAAUAAUUUGUGCCUUGUUCUUCAUAUAAAAUUUAUUUAAGAGUGAUCCGAUUCCUUUUUAUCUCUCCAUUGGGUGUCUGAGUCAUAUCUUUGGGUCCUAUUUCCACUGAUUUUCCCACCUAUACAUGAGCCUAUUGACUCCAAUAUGAAAUGGAGCUCGGGUCGGUGUUUUCUUUGGUUCAGUUGAUACUCUGUUUUUGUGAUUGCUCUCUUGUUGUUUAUACUUUGUUUUCGAUGGCCAUUCAUACCCUCAAGGAGAAGGGUUUUGGUCCAGCAUGAGCCUUUGGUUUCAUAUGGGCAUAGUUUCUAAAGCUUGAGACCAGAAGACACUUCGUAGGCUAGCUCAGAAUCGAGAGGCUGCAAGGAAGAGUCGGCUGAGGAAGAAAGCUUUGGUUCUGGAUAGGCAUAUGUCCAGCAGCUGGAGUGUAGCUAACCCAAGCUUACACAAUUAGAGCAAGAGCUUCGACGAGCACACCAACAGGGUGUUUUUAUUUCGAUUGGAUUUUCUGGGGAUCAGAGUCAUUCCAUGGGCGGAAAUGAGGCUUUAGCAUUUGACAUGGGUUAUGCUCGCUGGCUUGAUGAAUAUCAGCGGCUAAUCAAUGACCUGAGAUCAGUUGUAAAUUCUUAUGUAGGGGAUAAUGAACUACACAUUCUUGUCGAUAGCAACAUGGCCACCUACAAUGCAUGGAGCUAUGAUGAGCAUCUCAUUCGAGUAGUUAUUUGCUGUGGCCUGUAUCCUAGAAUUUGCUCUGUUGUGCAAAAUGGAAAGUCAUUCUCAUUGAAAACAAUGGAGGAUGGUCAAGUGCUCUGGCAUUCGAAUUCAGUCAAUACUCGAGAAUGUAAAAUUCCAUAUCCAUGGCUAGUUUUCAAUGAGAAGAUAAAAGUAAACUCUGUUUUCUCCGAGAUUCAACAGCUGUGUUUGAUUCAGUGCUUCUUCUAUUUGGGGGCGACAUCUUGAGAGGGGAUGGUGAUGGGCACUUGAAAAUGUUGGGGGGGGAGGGGGGGUGGUACUUGGAAUUCUUCAUGAAACCUAAUACAUCAGAAAUGUACCAAAGCUUAAGGAGAUAACUUGAUGAGCUUAAUUCAGAAUAAACUACUAAAUCCCAGAAUGGGCAUACACAUGCAUCAUGAGCUCCUUUCUGCAGUGCAGCCAAAAUGAAAGAUGAAUUGUUCAAACCCAGCUCAUGAAGAACUGAUGUGGCACACUCCUUGUCCUUCAGGGUCCCAUCUUUCAUUAUUUCAACCAGAGUUACAAUGAACGAUAACCUUCCAGCUUCAGUCCGCCCUUCAGGAUGUGAUACUAAAGGCAAUAAAAUUGAGAGAGCUUCAUCGAUCACUCCCAGGUUUUUAUCCUCGAGCAGAUGAAGUAAUGCUGGUAUGAUACCUGCCUUGAUGGCUCGCGACUUAUUGGAUUGGUUGAGUGACAGGUUAAACAAGGCAGUGCCUGCAUCCUCCUCUAUCCUUCAUGCUCACAACCCCACCACAUAUCUAUUAAACCCAUCCUUUAUUCCACCAAUCUCAUACCCAUUUUUCACUGCCCACUUCUUCACCCACAUUCCCAUUCUUCAAAUAUCCAUUAUUCCACCCUUCCCACUAUCUAUUCUACCCAUGACGCCCAUUUCCUCCAUCCAUCAAACCCAUCGCUUCACACCCACCGAACCCUAUGCAUAUUCACCCUCAAUGUUCUCUACACCUUUAUCAUCUUCCCAAACUCACAUACCCAUCACUAAGCCAACCUAAUAAUUCUUCAUCUGUCAUCCCACAGCCGGCAGCUCGUUUCACCAUUCUGCCCAUUCUAAUAACCUCAUCAUGCCUCUUCAUAUCCAUCACCAUCCGUAUUUCUAUUUUUUUAAUACCCAUCAAACCACUUUUCUCACUACAUUUUCACCACCCGUCCUACCAAUAAUACUCCCACCAUUCCUGCUCCAACAUAUCUAUCCUCAUGCACAUACCCAUAACCCUGCACUCAUCAUUACCGUCCAUCAUCCAUUCAAUCACACCCUUUAUAUCCCCCAGAACUCAUCUUUCAUACCCAUUGAAUUUGAAUACCCUCACUCAUACUUUCAACCACUCAAUCCCAUUAUAUUCCGAAUCGCAGAUCAGGAUAUAAUUCUAUUCCUCAAGAUUUUUGCUCGUUGUGACCCUACAACGCGUGAAGAAACGAUGCAUGCAAUCUGUGCACUAGCUCACGUGAUUGGCUCAAAGUUUGGGACAUUGGGAUAUGAUGCUCAUUGCCAAUCCCUUAAAGGUUACUGCUGUUAGUUUCAUUUACUGAAGAAGAAAUCAGGUUAUUGCUAAGCCCGCAUGCAAGCUUAUUCCUGAUCUCAGCGUCUUCAACAUUUGAAUGGCUUUACACUGAAGGGUGGAAGUGAGGAGCUAAAAACGAGAGAGCUGUAGUGUGGCAGGGGAUCGAGAUAGAACAAGAGAAGCAUGGAAGAGGGGAAGAAUCAUUGGGGGCCUACACCCUUUGUUGGGAGGAAUGCAAUAAAAAAAAAUUGAUGUGGCUUCACUAGCAUCAAAACAGCCUAUUCUUAUAUGAUGAGGUAAUCUUAUAUGAAGAUGAAUUGGCUGAUAGUGGAGUGUCACUUUUAACUGUGAAAGUGAGGGUCAUGCCAACUUGUUGGUUUCUUCUCUUGCGUUUCUGGUUUAGAGUCGAUGGAGUGCUUAUGAGAUUGAGGGACACUCGCAUGCAUUGCAUUUUUAAGGAUGAUGCAAACCCCAUCAUUCUUCGGAAAGCUGCUGGAGAGAAGCUACAUUCCAAGCUUUAUCUGCAAAAGGAUAUCCUUCUGAUUCUACUGCAUAUAAUGAUCCAAGCACCAACAGCCAGAGGCUUCCCAUCAUCAUGCAUAAGACCCAAAAGCUUAAGGUGAAGUAACUGAUCUUAUGCUGCAGAAUGCUGUUUCAAGAAAGAUUAUGAUUUGCAUUAUUGAAAAGAGCAUUGAGGAUGGAUUUUCAUAAAGAGUUGGAGUUGCGUAGGAAGGAGAUGCUAGAGAGAAUUCAGGCAAAUAUUGUAUAAAUACGACGCGGGGAUGAUGAAGACACUGAUGCUUCAGACAAGGACUACAGUGGUUGAUGCAGCAGUUGAAGAUUGGACAAAGGAUUAUAACAUCUGAACCUCACUGAAGUUGCCAUAGAUAAAUGGCCCCCUUCUAUUAGUUCAAACAGAGAUUACCUUCUGUGUUUUUUUCUAAGAGUUAACAGAUUUUAUGGAGUGCAAUAGGGGCAAGCCACAACCUCCUUUUGAUUAGAUAAAGCCUGCUCUUCCAGCUCUUGGGCGUCUUAUUCACUCGAAGAAUGAUGAAGAUGUGCUAACUGAUGCAUGUUGGGCACUGUCUUACCUUUCUGAUGGUACAAAUGACAAAGUUCAAGCUGUUAUUGAAGCGGGUGUAUGUCCUAGGGUUGUUGAGCUUUUACUUUACUCAUCUCCUUCUGUUCUCAUUCCUGCACUUCACAUGGUUGGAAACAUUGUCACUGGAGAUGAUAUGCAAACCCAGUGCAUAAUCAACCAUCAGGCACUUCUUUGCCUUCUGAACCCGUUGACCAAUAACCAUAAGAAGAGCAUCAAGAAGGAAGCUUGUUGGACUAUUUCAAAUAGAGCAGAUUCAGGCUGUAAUUGAGGCAAACAUAAUUGGUCCCCUUUGUUCAUUUGCUUCAAAAUGCUGAAGACAAAUCGUGAUUGGGUUGCCUCUACGUUAAAGUUAGCAUGGAUGGUGCUCCAUACCUGAGGAACACCUCAAAACCUAUUGCAAUUAUGUGGAACUCUCAUCGGCUCUGGAGAAGAUGUUCAGCUGCUUUCCAAUUGGGCAGUGUGGUUCUCAUGGACUUCUAUGGCACGAUGGGCUGACUGAGAGUCACUUAAUGGAUAUUCUUCAUGGUUCUGAAUAUAUGCUAACAUAUGAGGAUAAGAAUGGAAACAAGUGGAUGUUUCAUUUCUCAAGCUCUCCAUCUUCGCUUCUAAAAAUUGAUUUUCAAAAAUUUGAUUUUCAAGUAGUUUUCUUUUACUCCUUAACCUUUUCAUUAUUUUAUUCUCUUUUAUUAUUUCAUUUUAUUAUUUUAUUUUAUUUUAUUUUUUUACUUUUUAUUUCCCUUUUUUUUUCUUAAUAAUCUUAAAGUCAAUAAAAUCCCUUUUUAAUAAAAUUUGCUUCCACUUCCUAUUCAGCAAGCAAUUUUAAUAUCUUUCUUGGUCUUUUAAAAUGUUUUAAAAUAAGUAUGAAUUUAUUCCUAUAAUUUCAAAUGAUGGAAUUUAUGGGAUUGACUCAUACAAUAUAAAAUCGGCUUUGGUGGGGGUCAACAUAUGUGAUUUUAUGAUUGACUGAUUGACUGGUUGAUUGCUAUAUUUGUUUGAUUUAUUAUGCUCUAUGACAUGCAUGAGAUUAUUCCUUAAUUCUGCACUAACCCCCUCUCUUGAUAGCGUAUAAUGGCUCAUUGCCCAGGUAUGCACCCAUUCUCACUCUGGUCAUUCUAUAUGCAUGUAUUGAUUCUCACACGUGCAUGAUCAUUUUGAGUAUCCAUUGAUUUUCUUAUUGAUUGUCACAUCAGUUUCAUUUUAUUAGUAGAGACCCGACUUUAGGGACUUAGAGGGGUGCUACGGUCUUUACCGUACCUUCCCAAUAAGUAACCUGACCCUCGAACCCGAUCCCGUUUUUCAUAGACCACAUUUUCCAAAUAAGGAGUCACACUUAGGGUUUUCUUUCUUAUUUUGUUUACCCUUUUAAAAAUAAAACAAAAAUAAGUGGCGACUCCAAGACAUUUUCAUAAUCAAUAAAUCAUUUUUCAAAUAAAAAUCAAGCUUGCCAUCGAGUGGAAGCGCAUGAGCCGAAAUGCGGGGUCCACACAUUAGUUUGGUUAUUCUUUUUGAUCUCAUACUUAGUUUAGUUUAUAAAAAUUGUUAGUUUGGUUGCAUUGUUGAUUUUAUACUUGGUUUAGUUUCUUUUAAAUAUCAUUAGUUGUGGUUAUUCCAUUAAUCAUAUGUUUAGCUUAGUUUUUAAAAAAUUAUUAAUUUGGUUGCUUUGUUGAUGCUAUGCUUAGUUUAUUUAUUUUUAAAAAUCAUUAGUUUGGUUAUUCUUUUAAUCUCAUGGUUAGUUUAGUUUUGAAAAUAUAUUUGUUUGGUUUGUUUGUUGAUAUUACGAUUAAUUUAGUUUUUUUAAAUAAAUAAAAAAUCAUUAGUUUGGUUAUUUUUUUUAUCUUAUGUUUGGUAUAGUUUUUUAAAAUUAUUAGUUUUGUUACUUUGUUGAUAUUAUGUUUAGUUUAGUUUCUUUUAAAAACCAUUAGUUUAGUUAUUCAGUUGAUCUCAUAUUUAGUUUAGGUUUCAAAAAUUAUUGGUUUGGUUGCUUUGUUGAUAUUAUACUUAGUUUAAUUCUCUUAAAAAUCAUUAGUUUAGUUAUUCAGUUGAUCUUAUAUUUAGUCUAGAUUUCAAAAAUUAUUAGUUUGAUUGCUUUGUUGAUAUUAUGCUUGGUUUAAUUCUCUUAAAAAUCAUUAGUUUAGUUAUUCAAUUGAUCUCAUAUUUAGUUUUGGUUUAAAAAAUUAUUAGUUUGGUUGCUUUGUUGAUAUCAUACUUCAGUUAAUUUCUUUUAAAAAUCAUUUGUUUGAUUAUUAUGUUGAUCUCAUGUUUAACGCAAUUUUUAAGCAUUACUAGUUUUGUUGCUUUGUUAAUUUUAUGCUUGGUUUAAUUCUUUUAAAAAUCAUUAGUUUGGUCAUUCUGUUAAUUUAAUAUUUAGUUUAGUUUUAAAAAAAAUAUUAGUUUGGUUUCUUUCUUAUUGUGCUUAGUUUAGUUUCUUUUAAAAAUCAUUAGUUUGGUCAUUCUGUUAAUUUAAUAUUUAGUUUAGUUUUAAAAAAAAUAUUAGUUUGGUUUCUUUCUUAUUGUGCUUAGUUUAGUUUCUUUUAAAAAUCAUUAGUUUGGUUGUUCAAUUGAUCACAUAUUUAUUUUAAUUUUCAAAGAUUAUUAGUUUGGUUGCUUUGUUUAUAUUAUUAUAGACCCUUGAUUUUGUCCCCUAACCACAUUCCUUAGUGCUCUUUUAGUUCUCCAUAAUAGUUCCUUUGUGGCCCAUUGAUACAACUUAUCUUUUUGAGACACCAUAAAGACUCUGGUCGAGGGAUUAAUCUAGCCUCUCAUUAUGAUCCUUGGCAACUGUAAGUUAGAUGUAGGAUUUUCCUUUUAUCUUUUUAGAAUAGCUCAUUUAGGUACACUUUUAGGUCACUUAGGCACUUUUCUGAUCACCUUAGGUCACUUAGGCAUCUUUCAAGCUCACUUAGGUUCAUUUAGGCACACCUAAUCCAUUAGGCACCAUCCUAGGCCCAUCAAAGCUCCCUUAGGCCCACUUAGGCUCACCUUGACUCAUUUAAAUUAACCUAUACCCACUUAGGUUCACCUAGGCCCACUCUAGUUCACAUAGUCCUGUUUUGGUUCAUCUAGGCCAACUUAGGGACACCUAGCCCACCUAGGCCUACCUAGGCACACCUAGCCCACUCAGGUUCACUCGGCCCACUUAGGUUCCUCUAAGCCACUUAGAUUUACUUAGACCCACUUAGGUUCACCCAAACCCCACCUUAAGUACAUUUAGGUCAUUUUUUAGGUAAUUCUUACAUGAUUGCAUGUUCUUGUUUUUUUUUUUUUUUGUUUAUUAUUUAUUUAUUUAUUUUAGGAAAUUGUUUGUGGUUAAUGAUUUUAAGUCUCUUUAAGUUGAAUGAAAUAAUAUUCCAUUCUUCUCAAAAUUGCAUGUGAUUGACUUUUAAUUUUUUUAAUCACAUAAUUUUAAUAUUUUUAAUUUUCAAUUUCGUGAUUUUUAUUGAUUCUAACCCUCAUUCUUUUUUGGUUUGUUUUGCAUGGGAUUUUGAGUACCCCAUCCAUAUUGAAGGAAGAUAUUCACAAGAUUUUUUGUUUUUUGUUUUUUUGUUUUGGAAGUAUGGAGCAAUGUUCUGGAAAGAAAAAUCAAGUUCAUUUUAGGGGAAAGAUUCGGUAUGUUUUUUAGAUGGAACGAUGGUUGGUCAAAGGGAGGACUUUUGGAGCAUGUUUUGGGAAGGAGUUGGGUUCACAUUCUGGAGGAUUCUAAGCACAUUUUGGCGGAAUUUCGAGGGCUAAGCCAUGGAUAAGGAAGGUUAAGCAUUUUUUGGAAAGAGGGAUUGCUACGUUUUGGAGAAGAAUGGGGGGGGUAGCAACACCAAAAAUCUCAAGGACAACUUAUCCAUUGGGCUUUGGGGAGAAGUUAUAUCCUCUUCAAGAACAAUAGCCAAGGGCAACUCAGAAAGUAAAAGCCUACACAUAGUCCACUACGGGAGGGGUUGCAAAAGUCCUCAUAUAGACGUCAUUCUCCAUAGAGAAGCACCGACACGCAGCAGCCUGAAAAGGGAGACAAUCGAUCAUGAGACUCCUUGAGAGGGUGAAUAACGAACUAUAAGAGGGGCCUUCUCUUACAUGCGAAUUCAAGUUUCUUCACAGCCACCCUCACGACUGCACAGUUUGCAUCAUGAGAGAUCCCUCUUAGCAUCACACACCAAGGAAACAUACUAUCAAUUCAGGAAGCAUCACAACACACCAUUGGAGAAGUUGGAGUCCACUAAUCAUGGUUGUAAGAGGCACGCACAAAAGAGGCAACCACACACCACAAUUUGGGCGGCAUCUCCGAUAAGAAGCAGCAGCAUGGGACUCCAUUGGAGAGAAUUCUCCACACACGGUCACAUAAAGGUUGCCAUACACAGUUGAAAAGAUAUCCAUAGGAUGUACCAUAAGAUGGUGGUUGUAGCCACACGUUGGACUUAAGAAAAGCGGUUGUCACUUUCAAUACACCAUAAGGGAGAAAAGAUUCACACACGCAACAAUGGGAAGGUAAGUUGAUUUUUUUUUUUUUAGUUUGGUUUUUUAUUAAUUAUAUAUGUUUGAAAAGUUAUUAUUUUUUAGUUUGGUUUUGAUUAAUUAUGUAUAUUUAUAUUGAAAGGUAUGAUUUUUUUUUUUUGUUUAGUUUUUAAUUCAUCAUAUUAUAUUGAAAGGUUUUAAUUUCUUUAGUUUAGUUUUUUUAGUUCAUUAUAUUAUAUUAAAAAGUUAGAAUUGUUUUUAGUUUCCUUUUUAUUUAUUGUAUCAUAUCGAAAGGUUAUAAUUUUUUUAUUAUCAUUAUAGUUCACUAGAUUAAUUGUUUUGUAGGAUAAAAUUUUUAUUUUGAAGCUUGUGCCAUGUUAGUUUAUUUCGUUUAAGUUAAUUCAAAAGUUUUAUAGUUUUAAUUAAUUAGUUUAAUUCGUUUGAUUGAUUUGAUGUCAUGAUGUUUUAUCUUACAAAGUUUGAUAAUUGUAGUACUUAAUCAUCUUGUUUUAGGUUUUGUGUUAUUAGGUUAUUUACCAUGCAAUUAAAAUUUUAUCUUGUAAAGUUGGAUAAUUUCAGUGCUUAAUCAUCUUGUUUUAGGUUUUGUGUUAUUAAAUUUUUUUCUCUAUGCUAUUUAAAGUUCUCAUUUUUAGUAAUUUGGUAGUUCUUUGGUUUAGAUUUUCUUGUUAUACAUGUCUUUGAUUGUGUUAUUAUAUUUAAAGUUCUUGUCUUUAGAAAUUUGGUAGCUAAGAGUUUUUAGAUUUUCUAGUUAUUAUGCAUGCCUUUGAUUGCAUUAUUAUAUUUAAAAUUUGCAUAUUUAGAAAUUCGGUAGUUCUUAGGUUUUAGAUUUUCUUGUUAUUAUGCAUGUCUUUGAUUGCACUAUGUUAUUAAAUUCUCAUAUUUGGAAGAUUGUUGAUUCUUAGGUCUUAAAUUUGCUUGUUAUUAUAUUUGUAAUUUGAUGAUUAUUUUUAUUGAAUGUUUCAUCCUUAGAAGAUUGGUAUUUUUUAGGUUCUAGAUCUUUUGGUUUUAUUUCAUGCUAUUAAAAAAAGUCUUGAUUUUUAUUUUUGAAAGCAUAUUGGUUUGAUGGAAUCCUUAUAUGAAAGAUUUUUUCACAACUCAUCCUUGUUGUCGGUUUCCACUCACCUAAUAACCAUUUGGAUUUAAAAUUCGUUUUGAUAAUUUAGAGUACUUUUCAAAAAAUUUCCAAAAAAUUUAUGAUAUUCAUUACUUCUUGAACUUGAUUUUGGAAUAUUAUUCGAGUAAAAAAGAUUUUCUUGAAGUCAAAAUUAUGACAAUCUCUUUCAGCAUGUUUUGUUUAGGCUUACUUCUAUACACUUGAGAGCACUUUACAAAAUUAAAUUACUUUUUGAUAUUUUGAAUUUAAAUAAAUAUUUUCCUCAAAUUUUUUACUUCUUAAAAUUGAAUUUUGAGAUAUUAUUAAAAAAAAUAUGUUCUCUUGAGAGAGAUAUGAUUUUUCAAAUUUGUGCCUACUGCACAUGACUUUUUUUGGAUAGUUGAUAAGUUUGAGUGUUUUAAAAAUACUUUCUAGGGCUCUCUAGUCUUGGAUUUAUUUAUUAUUAUUAUUUUUUUGUAAACUAAACAACUUAAAGGACAUGUAUGAUUUUUUUUUUUUUUUAUGAUUUUAGGAGACUAAUUACUACUCAAAAACCACACAUUUUAGAUAAUAAUUCUCAUGAGUUUCAUACAUUUUGAGCAGUAAUUAUGCCUAAUAUACCCAAGUAAUACAUUGCUGCUACCCUUACAAGAUAUACUAAUGGUUUUUGUGAAGUUUUGGAGAUAUUUCAAGGUGAUUUUUAAAGUAUUGAGUGACAAAAGAGAAAUGGAAUCGAGGAAGGUAAACAAUAUGGAUGAUGAGGAAGAAGCAAUGCUUGGACCAAGAUUUGGAGCUGAAUUGAAGGUGGUUGAGGUGGAUUCAAAAGAAAGAAAUGGGAGAAAUGACAAAAAGGAGUUGAAAAACUAUGUUUUUCCAUUUCGUAUGAUCAUGCGAAAGUUUCGCAUAGUUAUGCAAAAUGGACCAGAAAACAAUUUUGGCUGCAACUCAAAGGGAAAACUAAAAACUGAUUUCGCAUGACCAUGCAAAAAUUUCACACAGUCAUGCGAAAUGCUCCAGGAAUACGAAAUUGGUGUUGAUGCAUUUUCCACUUUGCACAAUCGUGCGAAAUUGUUGGAGCUUGUGUGAAAUUGCAUUUUUCCAGAUUUCUUGGUGAAGAAGCCUCUGAAAGACCUCUUGGAUGAUGCCAAGUGUCCACUUGAACUUGACCUAUAAAUAGAAACUUGAUUUACUCAUUUGGGGGACUUUUAGACAUUUUCUAAUUGUAGAACUUUCCAGAUUUUCUCUUUCUAUAGAAUUCUCUAUUUUCCUUCAUUUUCUCUCAUUUUCUCGGUAGUUUUGAGACCAAAUCUCCAAGCAUGAGUGGCUAAAUCUUGUUUUUCUCGAAGGAGCAAGAUCUAUGGUGAAUUAGAGAAAUGAGCUUGAAUUGCAAAGGUAAUUUGAUCCAAUUGAUUGAUUAAUUCAAAUCAUAUAUUCAAUUUAUCUUAAAUUAUCUUCCAAUGAUUACUACAAUGCAGACUAGUUAGAUUCAUCAAAUUCUUAAUGCUAGAUUUAAUGAGAUUAAAUAGUUGCAUUGUGUGAAUCUUUGGAAGAUAAUUUAAGAUGAAUUGAAUAUAUGAUUUGGAUUGAUCUCUUGGAUUAAAUGACCUAAUUUGAAGAGAAAUUAAAUCUAAAUCUAAAGCUAAAUCAAAAAUCAGUUUAGAUGAAAAUUUAGGUUUUUAAUCUAACUUGAUGAAAACUGGAUCUCAACAUCUAUUCACCAUGAAAAUUGUUUUCUAGAAAAUCCUAACUCCAAGAAUUUCAUUUUCUAUUAGUUUUCUUCUAUAUUUACAUUUCAUUUUCCUCUCAAUUUGAAAUCAUUGUUAGUUUGAACUUUUAUCAUGAAUUGUCAUAUCAUUUUCACUUGAUCACAACCAUUCCUUCUUCUCUCAUUCAAGCCUUGAUUACCAAGAAUAAUCCAUCGUUGUGGACAAUACCUAAAAACCAUUAUACUACAGUAGUAUGUAUUAAAACCACUUUUUGAUCAUGUACAACCUGCUAUAGAGUAGUGAAUUUGGUUAUAAAUUUUGUUUUGAUCAAUAAACGAUGAAAAAACCAAACGAUCAAAGACCUUUAAAUAUUUUUACAAAUUCAGUUUAUGCAUGUCACCAUUUUCUACCUAGUUUUGGACCUUCUGGAACUUUUGGGUGUUUUUGCUUAAAUUUGUUAUUUGAAUGAGUGUUUGAGUUUUUUAUGUUAUUCCAGAAGUGUAGGAGAUGUUUCCUGAAAAUUUAUGUAAUUAAAUUCCACUUCAAGAUUUUUUUUUAGGAUUUGUUUUAUGAUGCUUCCUGUUCUAAUUGCAUGCUAACGAUCUUACACUUUACUUAACUAUGCUAUUUUUUUGGAGUUAUUUGACUUAUCUUGGCAUGACUUUGGUUAUUGUAUCAUGAUAUAGACUAAAUUGAGAAGUUUGUCUUUAUUUUUCAUGAUCAAUUGAUGUUCCUAUAUAUUAAUUUAUAUUUUUUCUUUUGAUAAUAGUGUGCUACCUGUUUUAACCAUAACCCUUGAUUUUUUUUUCUCCUAUUUUGGGAGUUAUAUACAUGACUUGUCUAAUAAUUGGUGUUUUCUUAUACUUUGGUCAUUUCUGUUGUGAUAUUUAAAUACCAUGCAUGCUAGGAUUUCUUUUCUUUAACGUCUGUUAUUAUAACUUUGAUCUAACCUCCAAUGUCUUGUGGAAGCGCAUUGUUAUUUGGGUACGCUUCUUAUCUUUGCAUCUUAAUUCCAUUAGUUAUGUAAAGCUUCAUACAUGAUCAUUAUCAUGCUUAAUAUAUAUUUUUGAUUGCUUGUUUGACUCACCAUGUUAGAUUUCUUGACUAUGGUAAAAUACACGUGUGUGUGUGUGUGUGUUUUAAACUAAAUUUGAUAUCUUAUGACAACGCUUAAGUUGUAGCUCAAGUACGCCUAUCUUCCUUACUCAUGUGAUUGAUUACUUAGAUAUAUUUGUUUGAAUAUGAAUAACAAUCUAGCCAAUAGAGACCACUUUAAGGCUUAGAGGGGUGCUACCUCUUUGAGGUACCUUUCUGAUAGGUAACCUAAUCCUCUCUGCCCUAGACUCAGUUUUUUCAAAUACAGGGUUUUCCAAAACUUAAGGAGUCAUUUUUCUUAGGUGAGUCCAGAAAUUGGUGACCCCAUUGAGGAUUUUUGAAGAUCAAGCUUGAACACUACUUGAGGAAAAUAUGGUGUUUAAUUGGUUGAUUUAGUUUUGAACACUACUUUAGGCAAGGUGAUUCAGUUUGCUUAAUUGUUUGUGAUUUAGUUAAAGAAAAGAGAUUUUUUUUAGAAUUGAUAUUUUGAGUUAAGCUUAAUCGUUUUGUCUUGGAAACCAUUGUAGGUUCUAUUUAAGUUUAUUCUUUGGUCCUUUCGUUUCUCAUCAUUAGGACACAAUUCUAGGUUCUAUCUAACCUUAUUCGUUUGUUUUUUUGGUUUCUCAUCAUUGGCUCACAAUUCUAGGUUCUAUUUAAGUUUAUUCUUUGUUCCUUUGCUUUCUCAUCAUUGGAACUCCAUCAUAACUUCUAUAUAAGUUUAUUCUUAGUUCCAUUCAUUUAUCAUCAUUGGGACACAAUAUUAGGUACUAUCUAAGAAUAUUCAUUUUUUCCCCUUGGUUUCUUAUCAUUGGAAUGCUGUCCUAGGUUCUAUCUAAGUUUAAUUGUUUGUUCCUUUGGUUUCUCAUCUUUAGGACACCAUCCUAGGCUCUAUCUAAGUUUCUUCUUUCUUCAUUUAGUUUCUCAUCAUUAGGACACCAUCCUAGGUUUUGUCCUACUUCAUUCUUUUUCAUUUCAUUUCUCAUCAAUGGGAUACCAUUCUAGGUUCUCUCUAAGCUUAAUCAUUUGUUCCUUUGGUUUCUCAUCAAUGGGACAUCAUCCUAAGUUCUAAGUAUCUUCUUUGUUCCUUUAGUUUCUCAUCAUGGGGACACCAUCCUAGAUUCUAUCUAAGCUUAAUCAUUUGGUCCUUUGGAUUCUUUUCAUUGGGACAACAUCAUAGGUUCUAUCGAAGUUUACUCUUUGGUCCUUUUACUUCUCAUCAUUAGGACGUCAUCCUAUGUUCUAUAUAACCUUAUUUGUUUGUUCCUUUAGUUUCUCAUCAUUGGUUCACCAUCUUAGGUUCUAUCUUGGUUUAUUCUUAUGCCUUCACAUCAUUGGGACACCAUUUUAGGUUCUUUCUAAAUUUAUUCUUAAUUCCAUUGAUUUAUCAUCAUUAGGAUGCCAUCCUAGGUACUACCUAAGAUUAUUUGUUUUUUCCUAUGGUUUUUUUAUCAUUAGGACACCAUCCUUGGUUCUAUCUAAGCUUAAUUGUUUGUUCAUUUGGUUACUUAUCAUUGGGACACAUCCCUAUAUUCUAUUUCAAUUUAAAGGUUCAUUUGGUUUCUUAUCAUUGGGACACAUCCCUAGAUUCUAUUUCAAUUUAUUCUUUGUUCAUUUGGUUUCUAAUCAUUGGAAAACCAUCCUAGCUUCUAUCUCAGUUUAUUCUUUAUUUAUUUGGUUUCUCAUCAUUAGGAUGUCAUCACAGGUUCUAUCUAAACUUAAUCGUUUGUUCCUUUGGUUUCUCAUCAUUGGGACACCAUCCUAGGUUCUUCUUUGUUCCUUUGCUUUCUCAUCAUUGGAACUCCAUCAUAACUUCUAUAUAAGUUUAUUCUUAGUUCCAUUCAUUUAUCAUCAUUGGGACACAAUCUUAGGUACUAUCUAAAAAUAUUCGUUUUUUCCCCUUGGUUUCUUAUCAUUGGAAUGCCGUCCUAGGUUCUAUCUAAGUUUAAUUGUUUGUUCCUUUGGUUUCUCAUCUUUAGGACACCAUCCUAGGCUCUAAGUUUCUUUCUUCAUUUAGUUUCUCAUCAUUAGGUCACCAUCCUAGGUUUUGUCCUACUUCAUUCUUUUUCAUUUCAUUUCUCAUCAAUGGGAUACCAUUCUAGGUUCUCUCUAAGCUUAAUCAUUUGUUCCUUUGGUUUCUCAUCAAUGGGACAUCAUCCUAAGUUCUAAGUAUCUUCUUUGUUCCUUUAGUUUCUCAUCAUGGGGACACCAUCCUAGAUUCUAUCUAAGCUUAAUCAUUUGGUCCUUUGGAUUCUUUUCAUUGGGACAACAUCAUAGGUUCUAUCUAAGCUUAAUUGUUUGUUCCUUUGGUUUCUCAUCAUUGGGACACCAUCCUAGGUUCUUCUUUGUUCAUUUGGUUUCUCAUCAUUAGGACACCAUCCCAAGUUCUACCUAAGCUUAAUCGUUUGUUCCUUUGGUUUCUCAACAUUGGGACACAAUCUAAGGUUCUAUCUCAUUUUAUUUUUUGUUCAUUUCGUUUCUCCUCAUUAGGAUGCCAUCCUAGGUACUACCUAAGAUUAUUAGUUUUUUCCUCUGGUUUUUUAUCAUUAGGACACCAUCCUUGGUUCUAUCUAAGCUUAAUUGUUUGUUCAUUUGGUUUCUUAUCAUUGGGACACAUCCUUAGAUUCUAUUUCAAUUUAAAGGUUCAUUUGGUUUCUUAUCAUUGGGACACAUCCCUAGAUUCUAUUUCAAUUUAUCCUUUGUUCAUUUGGUUUCUCAUCAUUGGAAAACCAUCCUAGGUUCUAUCUCAAUUUAUUCUUUAUUUAUUUGGUUUCUCAUCAUUAGGACGUCAUCAUAGGUUCUAUCUAAACUUAAUAAUUUGUUCCUUUGGUUUCUCAUCAUUGGGACACCAUCCUAGGUUCUUCUUUGUUCAUUUGGUUUCUCAUCAUUAGGACACCAUCCCAAGUUCUACCUAAGCUUAAUUGUUUGUUCCUUUGUUUUCUCAACAUUGGGACACAAUCUAAGGUUCUAUCUCAUUUUGUUUUUUGUUCAUUUCGUUUCUCCUCAUUUGGGUGUCGUCCUAGGUUCCAUCCAAAACUUAAUCAUUUGUUCGCUUAGUUUCUCAUCAUUGGGACACCAUCCUAGGUUAUAUCUAACCUUAAUCGUUUGUUCCUUUGGUUUCUCAACAUUGGGACACAAUCUAAGGUUCUAUCUCAUUUUAUUUUUUGUUCAUUUCGUUUCUCCUCAUUUGGGUGUCGUCCUAGGUUCUAUCCAAAACUUAAUCAUUUGUUCGCUUAGUUUCUCAUCAUUGGGACACCAUCCUAGGUUCUAUCUAACCUUAAUCGUUUGUUCCUUUGGUUUCUCAUCAUAUGGACACCAUCCUAGGUUCUACUCUUAAUUUAUUCUUCAUUCCUUUGGUUUCUCAUAAUUGGAAUGUCAUCCUAUAUUCCAUCUAACCUUAAUUGUUUAUUCCUUCGCUUUUGCAUCAAUGCGACACCAUCCUAAGUUCGAUCUCAAUUUCUUCUUUGUUCAUUUGGUUUCUCAUCAUUAAGACGUCAUUCUAGGUUAUGUCUAAGCUUAAUUGAUUGUUCCUUUGGUUUCUCGACAUUGGGAAACAAUCCAAGGUUCAAUCUUAUUUUAUUCUUUGUUCAUUUCAUUUCUCAUCAUUAGGACAUCAUCCUAGGUUCCAUCUAAGCUUAAUCGUUUGUUCGUUUAGUUUCUCAUCAUUGGGACACCAUCCUAGGUUCUAUCUAAGCUUAAUAGUUUGUUCCUUUGUUUCUCAUCAUUAGGAUGCCAUCCUAUGUUCUAUCUAACCUUAAUCGUUUCUUCCUUUGCUUUCGCAUCGAUGAGACCCCAUCCUAGGUAUUAUCUCAGUUUAUUCAUUAUUCAUUUGGAUUCUCAUCAUUUGAACACAAUUCUAGGACCUUUCCAAACCUAAUCAUUUCUUUCUUUUGUUUCUUAUUAAUUGGGACACAACCCUAGGUUCUAUCUCAGUUUCCUCUUUGUUCCUUUGGUUUCUCAUCAUUGGGACACCAUCCUAGGUUCUUCAUUUAUCCUUUGUUCCUUGGGUUUCUCAUCAUUUGGAUGCCAUCCUAUGUUCUAUCUAACCAUAAUCGCUUCUUCCUUUGCUUUCGCAUUAAUGCGACACCAUUAUGGGUUCUGUCUUAGUUUAUUCUUUAUUCCUUUGGUUUCUCAUCAUUGGGAUGCUAUCCAAGGUUCUGUUUAAAUUUAAUCGUUUAUUCCUUUGGUUUCUCCUCAUUGGGAAACAAUCCUAGGUUCAAUCUCAUUUUAUUCUUUGUUCAUUUCGUUCACCAUCAUUGGGAUGCCAUCCUAGGUCUUUCUAAGCUUAAUCGUUUGUUCAUUUUGGUUUCUCAUCAUUGGGACACCAUCCUAGGUUUUAUGUAAGCUUAAUUGUUUGUUCCUUUGGUUUCUCAUCACUAGGACAGCAUCCUAAGUUCUAAGUUUCUUCUUAUUUCCUUUGGUUUGUCAAAAUGCGGACGCCAUCCUAGGUUCUAUGUUAGUUUAUUCUUUGUUCAUUUUGUUUCUAUGGAAUGCCAUCCUAGAUUCUAUGUAAGUUUAAUUGUUUGAUCAUUUCGAUUCUUGUCAUUGGGACACAAUCGUAGCUUCUAUCUAAGUUUAUUCUUUGGUCCUUUCAUUUUUCAUCAUUAGGACGCCAUCCAAGGUUCUAUCUAACCUUAUUCGUUUGUUCCUUUGGUUUCUCAUCAUUGGGUCGCCAACCUAGCUUCUAUCUUUGUUUAUUCUCAAUUCAUUUGCUUUCUCAUCAUUGGGGCACCAUUUUAGGUUUUAUCUAUUUUUAUGUUUAUUUCCAUUGAUUUAUAAUCAUCGAGACUCCAUUCUUGGUACUACAUAAGAUUAUUCAUUUUUUUCCUUUGUUUUCUGAUCGUUGGAAUGUCAUCCAAGGUUCUAUCUAAGCUUAAUUUGGACGCCAAAGUAGCAAAGAAUAAAAUAAGAUAGAACCUAGGUCGGCCUUCCAAAAACGAGAAACCAAAGGACCAAAUAAGUAAGUUUAGAUUGAACCUAGCAUAGCAUCCCAUGGAUGAGAAACAAAAGGAACAAAGAAUAAACUGAGAUAGAACCUAGGAUGGCGUCCCAAUGAUGAGAAACCAAAGCAACGAAAAAUGUUUAGAUAGAACCUAGUUAUGCAUUCCAAUGACGAGAAACGAAAUGAACAAAUAAUAAACAAAGAUAGAAGCUCUGAUGGUGUCCAAAUAAUGAUAAACAAAAGUAACAAAGAGGAAACUUAGAUAGAACCUAAAUGUGAUGAUGAGAAAUUAAGGAGGAAAUAAGAAACUUAGAUUUGACUCAGAUGCAGUCCUAUUGAUGAGAAACGAAAGGAACUAACGUUUAAACUUAGAUAACGUAGGAUGGGGUCCCAAUAAUAGGAAAACAACUCAACAAAGAAUAAAUUUAGAUAGAACCUAUGAUAGUGUCCCAAUGAUGACAAACCAAAGGAGCAAACAUCAAACUUAAAUCAAACCUAUGAUGGUGUUCCAAUGUUCAAAAACGGAAGGAAGAAACGAUUAAGGUUAGAUAAAAUCUAGGAUGGCAUCCCAAUGAAGAGAAACCAAAUAAAGAAAGAAAAAACUAAGAUAAAACCUAGGAUGGUGUAGCAAAGAUGAGAAACUAAAGGAAAAAAGAAGAGACAAACUAAAGAAAGAAAAAACUAAGAUAGAACAUAGGAUGGUGUCCCAAUGACGAGAAACAAUGAAAAACCUAGGAGGGUGUCGCAAUGAUAAGCAACCAAACAAACAAAAUAUUAAGCUUAUAUUGAACCUAUGAUGUCUUUCAAAUGAUAUAUGAAACCAAAUGAACAAAGAAAAAACUUCGGACAGAGUCCCAAUGAUUAGAAACAAACAUAACAAAAAAGAUACUUAGAACCUAGAAUGACAUCCCAAUAAUUAGAACCAAAUCAACAAAUAAUAAACUGAGAAUGAACAUAGGAUUGUGUCAGAAUGAUUAGAAAGCAAAGAAACAAACGCUUAAGCUUAAAUAGAACCUAGGAUAGCUUUCCACAGAUCAAAAACCAAAUGAACAAAGAAUAAACUGAGAUAGAAACCAGAAUGGUUUCCCAAUGAUGAGAAACAAAUGAAAUAAAGAAACUUAGAUACAUCUUAGGAUGGUGUCCCAAUGAUGAAAAACCAAAUGAUCAAAGAAUAAAUCGAGAUAUAACCUAUGAUGGUGUCCCAAAUGACAAGAAAACAAAGGAGCAUACGAUUAGGUGCAGAAAGAACCUAGGAUGGAGUCCCAACGAUGACAAACCAAUGGAAAAAACAAUUAAGUUGAAAUAAAACCUAGGAUAGUGUUCCACUGAUCAGAAACCAAAUGAGCAAAGAAUAAACAGAAACGGAAAGUAAAAUGAUGUCCCAAUUAUGAGAAUCGAAAGUAACAAAUAAGAAACUUGGAUACAACUUAGGACGGUACCCAAUGCUAAGAACCCAAAUAAACAAAAAUGAAUUGAGAUAGAACCUAAGAUGGUGUCCCAAUGAUAGGAAACCAAAGGACAAAUUGAUUAAAUUAAGAAAGAACCUAGGAAGGCAUCCCAAUAUUGAGAAAUCAAAGGAACAAACGACUAUGUUUAGAUAGAACCUAGUUACACAUCCCAGUGAUGAUAAACAAAAUGAACAAAGAAUAAACAAAGAUAGAACCUAUGAUGGUGUCCCAAUGAUGAGAAAUAAAGUAACAAAGAAGAAACUUAGAUAAAACAUGGGAACCAAUCCCAAGGAAGAAAAAAGAAACUUAGAUUCAGCCUAAGAUGAGUAACAAAAGGAACUAACACUUAAGCUAAGAUAGAACCAAGGAUGGGGUCCCAAUCAUAAUAGAACCUAGGAUAGUGUCCCAGUGAUUUGAAACCAAAGGAACAAACAUCAAACUUAAAUCAAACCUAUGAUCGUGUCCCAAUGUUGAGAAAGUAAAGGAACAAACAAUUAAGGAUAAUUAGAAACUAGAAUGGUGUCCCAAUGAUGAGAAACAAAAAAGAAACUCAUAUAGAACUUAGGAUGACGUCCAAAUAAUUAAAAACUAGAUGAACAAAGAAUAAAUUGAGAAAGAGCCUAAGAUGAUGUCCCAAUGAUGAGAAACCUAAGGAACAAACGAUUAAGCUUAGAGAGAACCUUGGAUAGCGUUCCAUUGAUCAGAAACCAAAUGAAUAAAGACUAAACUGAUAUAGAAACUAGAAUGGUGUCCUAAUGAUAAAAAAACAAAAGUAGUAAAGAAGAAACAUGGAUACAACCUAGAAUGGUGUUCCAAUGAUGAGAAACCAAAUGAACAAAGAAUAAACUGAGAUAAAAUAUUGGAUGGUGUCCCAAUGACAAGAAACCAAAUGAACAAACAAUUAUCUUUAGAUAGAACCUAGUUUUGCACCCCAAUAAUGAGAGACGAAAUGAAUAAAGAAUAACUUGUGAUAAAACAUAUGAUGGUGUCCCAAUGAUUAGAAACCAAAGGAACAAAGAAGAAACUUCGAUUCACCCUACGAUGCAGUCCUAUUGAUGAGAACGAAAGGAACUAACGUUUUAGCUUUAGAUAGAACUUAGGAUGGCAUCCCAAUAAUGUGAAAGUAAAUAAAAAAUGAAUAAUAUUAGAUGGAACUUAGGACAUUGUCCCAAAUAUGAGAAACCAAAGGAAUAAGCAUCAAACUAAAAUCAAACCAAUGAUGGUGUCCUAAUAUUAAGUAAUUGAAGAAACAAAUGAUGAAGGUUAGAUAGAACCAAGGAUGACGCCCCAAUGACGAAAAACCAAACAAAGAAAUAAUAAACUAAGAUAGAACAUAGGAUGCUAUCCCAAUGAUGAGAAACCAAAGGAACAAAGAAGAAACCUAAAUAGAAGCAAGGAGGGUGUCACAAUGAUGAGAAACCAAACGAACAAACAAUUAAACUAAUAAAAAACAUAGGAUGAGAAACCAAUGGAACAAACGAUUAAGCUUAAAUAGAAUCUAGGAUAGCAUUCCACUUAUUAGAUAGAACCUAGCUUUGCCUCCGAAUGAUUUGAAAUGAAAUAAACUGAGGUACAACCUAUGAUGUUGUCCCAAUGAUGAAAAACAAAAGUAACAAAGAAGAAACUUAAAUUAAACCUAGGAUGAUCUCCCAAUGUUCAGAAAUUGAGGGAGCAGAGGAUCAAAGUUUGAUAGAACCUAGGAUGGUGUCCCAAUGAUGAGAAACUAGAUGAAAAAAGAAAAAAAGCUGAGAUAGAACUUAGGAUGGUUUGCCAAUUAUGAGAAACUAAAGGAAAAGGAGAGAAAAACAUAUAGAAAUUAGGUUGGUGUCCAAAUGAUAAGAAACCAAUGGAACAAACGAUCAAGUUUAAAUAGAACCUAGGAUAGCGUUCAACUGAUCAAAGAAUAAAUGAAAUAGAAACUAGAAUGGGGUCCCAAUGAUGAGAAACUUCGAUACAACGGAGGAUGGUGUCCCAAUGAUGAGAAACCAAAUGAAUAGAGAAUCAAUUGAGUUAGAACCUUGGAUGGUGUCCCAAUGAUAAGAAACCAAUGGAACAAAAGAUUAUGUUUAGAUAGAACCUAGUUUUUCCUCCAAAAGAUGAGAAACAAAAUGAACAAAGAAUAAGCUGAGGUAGAACUUAUGAUGUUGUCCCGAUGAUAACAAAAGUAAUAAAGAAGAAACUUACAUAGAACCUGUGAUGGUGUCCCAAUGAUAAAAAAAACCAAAUGAUGGGAGAAGAAGCUUAGAUUUAAUCUAGGAUGCAGCCCUAUUGAUUAGAAACGAAAGGAACUAACAUUUAAGCUUAGAUAGAACCUAUGAUGGUGUCCCAAUGAUAGAAAAGCAAAUAAACAAAAAAUAAACUUAGAUAGAACCUGGGAUAUUGUCCCAAUGAUAAGAAACCAAAGGAACAAACAUCAAACUUAAAUUAAACCUAGGAUGGUCUCCCAAUGAUGAGAAACCAAAUGAAGAAAGCAAAUAUAUAUAUAUAUAUAUAUAUAUAUAUAUAUAUAAUCUAGGAUGGUGUGCCAAUUAUGAGAAAUUAAAGGAAAAGGAAACAAACUCAAAUGGAAAUUAGGCUGGCGUCCAAAUGAUAAGAAAUCAGUGGAACAAAUGAUUAAGUUUAAAUAGCACCUAGGAUAGUUAGACACAAAAUGAACAAAGAAUAAAAUGAAAUAGAAACUAGAAUGGGGUCCCAAUGAUGAGAAACAAAUAAGAAACUUAGAUACAACCAAGGAUGCUAUCCCUAUGAUGAGAAACCAAAUGAAUAAAUAAUCAAUUGAAUUAGAACCUUCGAUGGUAUGAGAAACCAAAUGAACAAAUAAUCAACUGAAUUAGAACCUUCAAUGGUAUCCUUAUGAUGAGAAACCAAAUGAAUAUAGAAUCAAUUGAGUUAGAACCUUGGAUGGUGUCCCAUUGAUGAGAAGCAACAGAACAAACGAUUGAAUUUAUAAAGAACCUAGGAUGGUGUCCCAAUGAAACAAAUAAUUAUGCUUAGACAAAACCUAGUUUUUCCUUUGAAUGAUGAGAUGCAAAAUGAACAAAGAAGAAACUUACAUAGAACCUAUGAUGGUGUCCGAAUGAUGAGAAACAAAAUGAAGAGAGAAUAACUUAGAUUCAAUCUAGAAUCCAGUUCUAUUGAUGAGAAAUGAAAGGAACUAACAUUUAACCUUAGAUAAAACCUAUGAUGCGAUCCCAAUGAUGGGAAAGCAAAUAAACAAGGAAUAAACUUAUAUAUAAACUAGGGUAUUUGUCCCAAUGAUGAAAAUCAAAGGAACAAACAUCAAACCUAAAUUAAACAUAGGAUGGUCCCCCAAUGUUUAGUAACUGAAGGAAUUAACGAUUAAGGUUGAGUAGAACCUAGGAUGGUGUCCCAAUGAUGCGAAACCAGAUGAAGAAAGGAAAAAUUGAGAUAAAAUUUAGGAUGAAGAAAGGAAAAGGAGAGAAAUACGGAUAGCAAUUAGGUCAGUGUGCCAAUGAUAAGAGACCAAUGGAACAAACAAUUAAGCUUAAAUAGACCUAGGAUAGCAUUCCACUAAUCAAAUACAAUAUGAACAAAGAAUAAAAUGAAAUAGAAGCUUGAAUGGUUCCCCAAUGAUUAGAAACCAAUUGAAUAAAGAAAAGAGUUACAACCUUGGAUGGUGUCCUAUUGACGAGAAACAUAGGAACAAACUAUUAAGUUUAUAAAAAAAACUUACAAUAGUGUCCCAAUGAUGAUAAACCAAUGGAACAAAAGAUUAAUUAUUCCUCUAAACAAGGAGAAACGAAAUGAACAAAGAAUAAAUUGAGAAAAAAAAAGUAAAAAAGAAGAAACUUACAUCAGAACCUAGGAUGGUAUCCCAAUGAUGGGAAAGUAAAUAAACAAAGAAUAAACAUAGAUAGAAAAACCUAGGAUAUUGUCCCAAUUAUAAGAAACCAAAGGAACAAACAUCAAACUUAAAUUAAACCUAGUAUGGCCUCCCAAUGUUCAAAAACCAAAGGAACAAAUGAUUAAAGUUGGAUAGAACCAAGGAUGGUGUCCCAAUGAUGAGAAACCAGAUGAAGAAAGAAAAAAACUAAGAUGGAACCUAGGAUGACAUGCCAAUUAUGAGAAACUAAACUAAAAGGAAAGAAACACACAGAAAUUAGGCUAGCAUCCAGAUGAUAAGAAACCAAUGGAACAAACGAUUAAGCUUAAAUAGAAUCUAGGAUACUAUUCCACAUAUCAUACAAAGCAUGAACUAAGAAUAGAAUGAAAUAGGAAUUAGAAUGGUGUCCCAAUGAUGAGAAACAGAAGUAACAAAUAAGAAACUUAGAUACAACAUCUGAGGGCAUUCCAAUGAUGGGAAACCAAAUGAAUAAAAAGAAUAAACUGAGGUAGUAGAACCUUUGAUGGUGCCCAAUGAUGAGAAAAAAAGGAACAAAAGAUUAAGUUUAGAAACAACCUAGGAUGGCGUCCCAACAAUGAGAAACAAAAUGAACAAAGAAUAAACUGAGCUAGAACAUAUGAUGUUGUCCCAAUGAUGGGAAACCAAACUAAUAAACAAGAAACUUACAUAGAACCUAGGAUGGUGUCCCAAUGAUGAGGAACCAUAUGAAGAGAGAAGAAACUUAUAUUCAACCUGGAUGCAGUCCUAUUGAUGAGAAAUGAAAGGAACUAACGUUUAAGCCUAGAUAGAACCUAUGAUGGCUUCCUAAUGACGGGAAAACAAAUAAAUAAAGAAGAAACUUACAUAAAACUUAGGAUUCUAUCCCAAUGAUGAGAAACCAAAGGAACAAACAUCAAACUUAAAUUAAAACUAAGAUUGUGUCCCAUUGUUCAAAAAUUGAACGAACAAACGAUUAAGGAUAACUAAAGAAAGAGAAAACUAAGAUAGAACCUGGGAUAGUGUACCAAUGAUGAAAAACUAAAGGAAAAGGGAAGAAACAUAGAUAGUGCCUAGCAUCCUAAUGAAAAAAGAAUAAACUGAGAUAGAACAUAGGAUGAUGUCCCAAUAAUGAGAAACCAAAGUAACAAAGAAGAAACUUAAUAGAACCUAGGACGGUGUCCCAAUGUUGAGAAACCAAAUGAAGACAGAAGAAACUUAGAUUCAACCUAGGAUGCAUUCCUUUUGAUGAGAAAUGAAAGGAGCUAAUGUUUAAGCUUAGAUAGAGCCUAGGAUGGUGUCCCAAAGAUGGGAAAACAAAUAAACAAAUAAUAAACAUAGAUAGAACCUAGGAUAUUAUCCCUGUGAUGAUAAACCAAUGGAACAAACAUCAAAUGAUGGCAAUGAAAUGUUCAAAAAUCAAAGGAACAAACAAUUAAGCUUAGAAUCUAGGAUAGUAUCCAAAAGCUAAGACACCAAAUGAAGAAAGACAAAACUGAGAUAGAACCUAGGAUGGUGUACCGAUGAUGAGAAACUAAAGGAAGAAAGAAAAAACACAGAUAAAACCGAGGAUGGCAUCCUAAUGAUGACAAAACCAAACGAACAAACAGUUAAGCAUAUAUAGAACCUAUGAUGUCUUCCAAUGAUAUGAAACAAAAUGAACAAAGAAAGAACCUAGGAUGAUGUCCCAAUGAUGAGAAAGCAAAUGAACAAAUGAUUAAACCUAGGAUGGUGUCCCAAUGAUAAUAAACCAAUGGGACGUAAAAGAAACUUAUAUAGAACCUAGGAUGGUGUUCUAUUGAUGUCAAAUUAAAAGGAUGAAAGAUGAAACUUAGAUUCAACCUAGGAUUGAGUUUGAUUGAUCAGAAAAGAAAGUAAACAAUUAAGCUUAGAUAGAAUUUAGGGUGGCAUCCCAAUGAUGCAAGGGUGAAUGAAGAAAGAAUGCUCUAAGAUAGAACCUAGGUUGGUAUCCCAAUGAUGAGAAACCAAUCGAAAAAAUGAUUAAGCAUAGACAAAGCCUCUAUAGAACCUAAGAUGAGAAAUAAAAUGAACAAAGAAUAAACCAAGAAAGAACCUAAGACAGUGUCCAAUUGAUGAGAAACUAAAUUUACAAUUGAUUAAACUUAGAUACAACCUAUGAUGGCCUUCCAACUAUGAGAAACAAAAUGAAUAAAGAAUAAACUUAGAUAGAACCUAAGAUGGUGUCACAUUGAUGCAAUAGCAAAGGAAGAAAUGAUUAACGUUAGAUAGGACAUAGAAUGACAUCCCAAGGAUGAGAAACCAAAGGAAUAAAACAUAAACAUAUAUCGAACCUAGGAUGUUGUCCUAAUGAUGAGAAACUAGAGGAACAAACGAUUGAGGUUAGAUAGACCUUGGAUGGUGUCCUAAUGAUAAGAAACAAAAUGAACAAAGAAUAAAUUUAGAUAGAACCCUGGAUGGUGCCCCAAUGAUGACAAACCACAGGAAGAAACAAUGAAGUUUAGAUAGAAUCUAGGAUAGACUCACAAUUAUGAGAAAUGAAAUAAAAAAAGAUUAAGAUGAGAUAGAACUAAUUUAAGAUGGUGUCUCAAUGAUGAGAAACCAAAUGAACAAAGAAUUAAUUCGCAUGGAUUAGAAACUGAAUUAACCUAAGAUCAAAGGAUGAGAAACUGAACGAUCAAAGAAGAUACUAAUAUUGAACCUAAGAUCAUGUCCCCUUUGAUUAGAAACCAAAGGAACAAAUGAUUAAGCUCAGAUAAAACCUAGGAUGAUGUCUUCACAACGAGAAAACAAAGGAACAAAUGAUUAAGCUUAGAUAAAACCUAGGAUGAUGUCCUCACAACGAGAAAACAAAGGAACAAAAAAUAAAUUGAUAUAGAAUUUAGGAUGUUGUCCCAAUGAUGAGAAACCAAAUGAACAAAGAAUAAAUUGCGAUAGAAUGUAAGAUGGUGUCCCAAUGAACAAAAAAUUUAGUUUAGAAAGAACAUAGAAAGGUGUCCCAAUGUGAGAAUAAACUAAGAUAGAAAUCGAAGGAACAAAUAUGGAAGUUUGAUUGAACACAUGAUCGUUUCCCAACAAUGAUGAGCAACCAAAGGAACCAAUGAUUGAGCUUAGAUAGAAUCUAGUAUGUUGUCCCAAUGACAAGAAUCCAAAGGAAACUAAGCAUAAACUGAGAUCGAACCGAUGAUGGUAUCCCAAGGUUUAGAAACAAAAUUAACAAAGAAGAAACUCACAUUAAACUUAGGAUGGUGUCACAGUGAUGAAAAACCAAAUGAACAAAAAAUAAACUGAGAUAGAACGUUGCAUUAUGUCCCAACGAUGAGAAGCCAAAGGAACAAAGAAUAAAUUGAGUCUGAACCUAAGAUAGUGACCCAAUGAUGAGAAAACAAAAUAAACAAACAAUUUAGGUUAGACAAACCCUAGGAUGGUGUCCCAAUGAUGGGAAACCAAAUGAACAAAUAGAAACUUAGAUUGAACCGAGGAUUGUAUCCUAAUCAAGAGAAACCAAAGUAACAAAUGACUAAACUUAGAUAGAAUCUCUACGAUUGCAUCCCAAUGAUAGAAACCAAAGGAAUAACAAAUAAAUGAUUAAAUUUAGAAUAAGUCUAGAAUGGCGUCCCAAUGAUUAGAAAGAAAAAGAACAAAGAAUAAACCAAUAUACAACCUAAGACAGUCCAAAUGAGCAGGAAAAAAAAUGGAACAAUGACAAAACAUAGAUUCUUAGGAUGGUGUCCCAAUGAUGAGAAACCAAAGGAACAAACAACUAAACAUAGAUGGAACCUAGGAUGGUGUCCCAAUUGAAUAAUUGAUUAAGCUAAAAUAAAACUUAGGAAGGUGCCCCAAUGAUGAGAAACAAAAGCAACAAAGAAGAAACUUAAUUACAACCUAAGAUUGUCUCUAUGAUGAGAAACCAAUUGAACAAGUGAUUAAGCUAAAAUGAAACUUAGGAAGGUGUCCCAAUGAUGAGAAACCAGAACAUAGGAUGGUGUCCCAAGGAUGAGAAAGCAAAAUAACAAACCAUAAACUGAGAUAACACCUAGGAUGGUGUACCAAUGACGAGAAACCAAAGGAACAAAUGAUUAAGUUUAGACAGAACCUAUAAUUGAGUCCAAAUGAUGGGAAACAAAAGGAAUAACGAAUAAGUAGUGAUAGAACCUAGCAUGUUGUCCCAAUGAAAACAAACCAAAGAAAGAGCAACUUAUAUAAAACGUAGGAUGGUGUCCCAAUGACGACAAUCCAAAGGAACAAAGAGUACACUGACAUAGAACCUACCAUAGUGUCCCCAUCAUGAGAAAUCAAAGGAACAACGAAGAAAUAUAGACUAAGGAUGGUGUCCUAGUGAUGAGAAAGAACCGAAGCAAACAAUUAAGCUUAGACAUAACGAAAGCAAACAAUUAAUGGGAAUUUUAUGCUAUUCUAUGGUGUAUCUGAUUUCUUUCCUUGAAUCAUUUGUUGGAAUUUCAUGUUAUUUUUAUGAUUUCAUAAAAUGUGUUAAUGUGUCAUUCAAUCUCGAUUUAUUGCAUUAAAAUGUUACCAUGAUAUUGGAACGUUUAUUGGUAUGAAGAUUCAUGGUUCUGUGUUGUCAAAAUGGUUCAUGGUGUGGUUGCAUUGCAAGAAGGAUAUGGAAUUAUCACAGAUGAUAUUCAGAGUAUUGAUUGGUGGGAAGUGUUUAUGUGAUGCUACAAGCAUUAUCAUUUGAUAUAUUGUUUUGUUAACUAUAAUAGUCACAAAGUUUAAUACAGGAUGUACUCUUUAUAACAAGUUGUGCGUAUCCUCUUUUUGCACAAAAUCAAGCAGGAUCUCAGCAUUUAAAUUUUUGAGAGCACUUAUAUUGUAUUUGAGUUUCAAUUGUUUAGUUUGAAGAAUUACAAAAACCGGGGUGUGACAAUUAGUGAACCAUGGGAUUUUGGUUUAUGUAAAGUAACGUAGUACAAGUUUUUUUUUUUUUGUGAAAUGGAUCAUAUUUUGUUAACUAAGAGUUACAAAGUUUAAUAUAGGAUACUCUUUAUAACAGGUUUCCAUAUUCUCUUUUUGCACAAAAUAAAGUAAGAACUCGACAUUUAAAUUUUUGUAUCCCCAAUUUUUUGAAAGCACUUAUGUUGUUUUUGAGUAUCAAUUGUAAAAUCAAAAACUCAGGGUGUGGGAGUUCCAAUGAUGAGAAACCAAUUGAACAAAGAAUAAACAUAAAUUGAACCUAGGAUGGUGUCCUAAUGUUGUGAAAUAAAACGAAUAAACGAUUAAACUUAGAUAAAAUCUAGGAUGGCGUCCUNNNNNNNNNNNNNNNNNNNNNNNNNNNNNNNNNNNNNNNNNNNNNNNNNNNNNNNNNNNNNNNNNNNNNNNNNNNNNNNNNNNNNNNNNNNNNNNNNNNNAAACGAAUUAACGAUUAAACUUAGAUAAAAUCUAGGAUGGCGUCCUUAAGAUGAGAAACCAAAUGAACAAAGCAUAAGCUGAGAUAGAACCUAGGAUGGUGUUCCAAUGCCGAGAAAGCAAAUGAAUAAAGAAGAAAGUAAGAUAGAACCUAUGAUGUUGUCCCAAUGUUGACAAGCCAAAUGAACAAAGAAUAAACUAAGAGAGAACCUAGAAUGGUGUCUCAAUGACAAGAAACAAUUAUGAGAAACCAAGGAUGGUGUCCACACCAAGAGAAAACAAAGGAACGAAAAAGAAAUUUAGAUUGAAUCUAGGAUCGUGUCCCAAUGGAAGAAACGAUUAAACAUAGAUAGAACCAAGGAUUGCGGCCCAAUGAUGGGAAACCAAAGGAACAAAGAAUAAAUUGAGAUAGAACCUAGGAUGGUGUCCCUAUGACGAAACACGAAAAGAACAAAUGAUUCAGGUUAGACAAAACCUAGGUCAGCAUCCCAAUAGUGAGAAACCAAAUGAACAAAGAAUAAAGAAAAAUAGAACUUAAGAUGGUGUCCAAAUGAUGACAACUCGAUGGAACAAAGAAGAAACAUAGAUAGAACCUAGGAUAGUGUCCCAACAAUGAGAAACCUAAUGAACAAACAAUUAAGCUUAACUUGAACCUAGGAUGACAUCCCAAUGACGAGGAACCAAACGAACCAUGAAUAAAUUGAGAUGGAACCUAGGACACCCCAAUGAUAAGAAAUCAUAUGAACUAAGAAGAAACUUAGACAAAACUUAGGACGGUUUCCUAAUGAUAAGAAACCAAAGGAACAAAGAAGAAACUUAGAUAGAACCUAAGAUGUCCCAAUGAUGAGAAACCAAAUGAAAAAACGAUUAAAAUUAAAUUGAACUAAGGAUCAUGUCCCGAUGACAAGAAACCAAAAAAUGAUUAAGCUUAGAUAGAACCUAGCAAGGCAGGCCAAUGAUUGGAAAUAAAGGAACAAAUAAUAAAUUAAGAUAAAACCUAGGAUGAUGUCCUUAUGACAACAAACGAAAGGAACAAAUGAUUCAGGUUAAGAAAAAAACUAGGAUGGUGUCCCAAUGAUGAGAAACCAAAUGAACAAAGAAUAAAUAGAGAUAGAACCUAAGAUGGUGUCCAAAUGAUGAGAAAUCAAAUGAACAAAAAAGAAACAUAGAUAGAACCUAGGAUGAUGUCCUAACGAUGAGAAACCUAACACAAAACUGAUUAAGCAAAACCAGAACCUAGGAUGGCGUCGUAAUGAUGAGAAACCAAAUGAACAUUGUAUAAAUUGAGAUAGAACAUAGAAUGCUGCCCCUAUGAUGAGAAACCAAAUGAACAAACAAUUAAGCUUAUAUAGAACCUAGGAUGGUGUCCCAAUGUUGAAAAACAAAAUGAACAAAGAAUAAACUAAGAUAAAAAAAGGUUGGUGUCACAUUGAUGUGAAAGCAAAUGAAGAAAUGGUUAAGGUUAGUGAUGAGAAUCAACAAGCAUUCAAGGAUCCAUUGCAUGUUCCAGUUGGGCCUAUUACUAAAGCAAGAUCCAAGAAUAUCAAAGAAGCACUUAAUGGGCUACUUCAAGAGAUUUGAGUUGAUCCUAACGUAGGACUUUCCAAGCUUGGCCCAAAGGAGGAUGAAGGUGUAAUAAAUUUAAUCCAAGCUAGUGAGGGCUAAUCUGGCUUGAUUUAUGGCGUGCAAGGGCAACAUGUUAUUAAUGACAAAAAAAAAANNNNNNNNNNNNNNNNNNNNNNNNNNNNNNNNNNNNNNNNNNNNNNNNNNNNNNNNNNNNNNNNNNNNNNNNNNNNNNNNNNNNNNNNNNNNNNNNNNNNACGUUAGGAUCAACUCAAAUCUCUUGAAUUAGCCCAUUAAGUGAUUGACUUUCCAACUCCAUAUCAAUUAAUAGACAUUUUUCCUAUUCUAGAGCUUCUAAUUUCAGGCCAAAUACCUUAAUUUUAGGCUUUUAUUAUUUAGAACGUUUUUUUAGCUAUUUUCCUAUUUUGGAUCUGCUAAUUUCUAACCAAAUCAACUUUUAUUUAGGGUUUCAAUAUUGAGUAAGUUUUUUUGUCAUGACAUAUAAAUAGCAUGCACUCAUUGUAAUAGGGAAUAAUUUGAUUGAGUAAAAAAUAAAAAAAGGUGAGGCUUUGCUCUUCUUUUGGUUCUUCAAGAACUAUGAACUUAUCAAGGAUUCUUCCUCAUGGCGUUCAAACUUUAUACCUUCGGUUCGUGAUUCCAUUGUAAUCAUUGGGUUAAGGUCUGGUACUUAUACUUUUGGUUCACGUUUCACUUAUAAACAUUGGGUCAGGGUUUUAUAAAAAAUCUGUACGUUAGCUUUCUUGGGCAAUUAUUCCAAUACUAUUUGUUGGGUCUCAAAGCGUGUCGAUUGAGGUUCGCAUCAUUUGGUAUCAGAGCACAGGUUCUAAAAUCAGUUUUCUAUCCCUUUAUCUUUUGUUUCUUGUUAUCGUCCUAUCUUGUUCCUUUUGUGUUUUUUAUUCCUCAUUCUUUUUUUAUUUUUAUUUUACAUGCACUAGGUUAAACUCAUGCACCAAAUUCAAAAAAAAAAAAAAAUUGUGUGUAGUUUCAAUUCUCUCAAAUCAAAAUAUUAUUUUCUUUUGUCCUCUUCCUUUGAUUUAGUGUUUCUGUCAUAUUUUCUUGCCAUUAGUAUUAGUUUAAAUACUACAAGUUGAAUUUCUUGAUCAAGUUUGUUAGUUUAAGCAGAACUGAAAAGAGGAAGCUACGAGUGGAAAAAAGCAAUAGAAUGUGAGACUAAUAUCGGGAAAAAGCCAAUUUAAGAGUGAAACACGAGUGUGAGUGCAAACACGUGAGGGAGUGUUGUGAGGAAUUAUUUCUAACAUUUUUUUGUAGUUUUAAAAAUGUCUUCAAAGGGCGAAUCAUCAAAUAAGGAAGGAGGGGAGGAGUCAUCCCUCAUGUUGCAAGCUAUGCAACAACAGUUUGAACACAUGAACGUGGUGUUUAAUGAUAUUCGGGAUCUGAUGGAUAGGCAAGACACUGUUAUCGCUUCUUUGCAUGAGGAGCGUACCCAAAGAGCCCCUAAUGCUAGAAGACAAGGAAGGCGUGUACGCGUUUAUGAUUCUGAUGACUACCAUGAGGAUGAGUUUAAAGAUGAAGAGGAUCAAGCUUCAUUGAAUCAUGAGGGCAGGUUUGCGUCAAGGGGAGAAAGGCGUGGUAGAGGUUUCCGAAGAGCUCCAAGAUGGCAAGAUGGGAUUGAUAGAAACCUAGGAAACAACAAAUUGAAGAUACCAUCGUUUCAAGGGAAAAAUGAUCCAGAAGUGUACUUGGAGUGGGAGAAGAAGGUGGAGUUCAUCUUUGAGUGUCAUAACUACUCCAAGGAGAAAAAGGUAAAACUAGUUGUGAUUGAGUUUACUGACUAUGCUAUUAUAUGGGGGGAUCAACUUGUGAUGAACAGAAGAAAAAACUAUGAGAGGCCUAUUGAGACAUGGGAGGAAAUGAAAGCCACCAUGAGGAGGCGGUUUGUCCCUAGUCACUACUAUAGGAGCUUGUAUCAGAAAUUACAGGAGCGUGGAUGACUAUCACAAGGAGAUGGAGAUUGCCAUGAUUCCGACUAAUGUAGAGGAUGGAGAAGCUAUUAUGGCAAGGUUUCUGAAUGGGCUGAAUCGGGACAUUGCCAAUGUGGUGGAGUUACAACACUAUGUGCAGUUAGAGGACAUGGUGCACAUGGCAAUAAAGGUGGAAUGGCAGCUUAAAAGGUAAGGAACUCAGUCAUUUAAAAAUCUCGGCUCCUCUGCUUCAUGGAGGCCAAAUGGGAGGAAAUAUGAAGGGGUUGUUUUCAAGUCCAAAACCGAACCACCAAAAAGGAGAGAUGAAGCUCCCAAUGUCAACAAAGGUAAAAAUGAAUCCAAAACUUGUAAUCGUGAUAUUAAGUGUUUUCGUUGUUUGGGAGUAGGUCAUAUAGCUUUACAACGCCCAAAUAAGAGGACCAUGAUCGCACGUGUUGAUGUUGAGGUGGAAACUGAAAGUGAGGAAGAUGAUGACCAGAUGCCAUCAUUGGAGGAUGCUUGUGAUGAUAAUGUGGAGUAUCCAGUGGAGGGUAAGUCACUUGUGGUUAGGCGUGCUUUAAGUGCCCAAGUUAAAGAGGAUGACAUGGAACAACAAAGGGAGAAUAUUUUUCAUACUAGAUGCCACAUCAACAAUAAGGUAUGUGGUAUGAUCAUUGAUGGGGGGAGCUAUACUAAUGUGGCUAGCACUACUUUAGUUGAAAAAUUGAAUUUACCUACCUUGAAACACCCUAGACCAUAUAAGUUGCAGUGGUUGAAUGAUUGUGGAGAGGUUAAGGUAAAUAAGCAAGUGUUGGUUUCUUUUUCAAUUGGGAGGUACAAGGAUGAAGUACUUUGUGAUAUUGUUCCAAUGCAUGCGGGUCACAUUUUAUUGGGUAAGCCUUGGCAGUUUGACAGAAAGGUCAAUCAUGACAGGUUCAAGAAUAGGUAUUCUUUUGUAAAAGACAAUAAAACCAUUACUCUUGUAUUGUUGACUCCACAACAAGCGUAUGAAGAUAAAAUGAAAUUGAAAAGAGAGAAUGACUUGCAAAAAAAUUGUGAUAGUAAGAGUUCAAAAAAAGAUGAUGAGAAAGAGAGUGAAACAAAAAAAAAAAAAAAAAAUAGAGAGUGGAAAAAAUGAGAGAAAAACAAAAAAACAAGGGAGUUUUUAUGUUAAGGCGAGUGAUGUCAAGAAUGCUUUUUAUAUAAACCAGCCUAUAUUUGUACUCUUGUACAAAGAGAUAUGUUUUAACACUAAUGAACUUGACGAAUCUUUGCCUAGUGUUGUUUCUUUGUUGCAGAAAUAUGAGGAUGUGAUUCCUAACGAUGUGCCUAGUGGAUUACCACCUAUUAGAGGAAUAGAGCAUCAAAUUGAUUUUGUGCCAGGUAUGACAAUUCCUAACCGACCAGCCUAUAGGAGUAAUCUAGGGGAGACAAAGGAACUUAAAAGGCAAGUUGAGGAGUUGCUAACCAAACGACAUGUGAGAGAGAGCAUGAGUCCAUGCACAGUGCCGGUGCUGCUUGUGCCUAAGAAGGAUGGAACUUGGAGGAUGUGUGUUGAUUGCAAGGCUAUUAACAACAUUAUGGUAAAGUAUAAACAUCCCAUCCCUAGGAUAGAUGACAUGUUGGAUGAAUUGCAUGGAUCAUGUGUUUUCACAAAAAUUGAUUUAAAAAGUGGGUAUCAUCAAAUUAGGAUGAAAGAGGGUGAUGAAUGGAAAACUGCCUAUAAAACUAAAUAUGAAUUAUAUGAGUGGUUAGUAAUGCCUUUUGGUCUAACUAAUGCACCAAGUAAAUUCAUGAGGUUAAUGAAUGAUGCAUUGCGUGCGUUUAUAGGCAGAUUUGUUGUGGUUUAUUUUGAUGAUAUUUUGGUGUAUAGUAAGAACUUAGAUGGGCAUAUCAAUCAUUUGCAUUGUGUGCUUGUUGUUUUAAGAAAAGAAAAAUUAUAUGCAAAUUUAAAGAAAUGUUCCUUUUGCAUGGACAAAGUUAUAUUUCUUGGUUCUGUUUUUAGUAUGAAAGGAAUUGAGGUGGAUGAGGAAAAUGUGAAGGCUAUCAAGGAAUGGCCCACAGGUUAAUCACUGACGUAAGAAGUUUUCAUGGUUCGACUAGUUUUUAUUGUUGAUUUGUCAAAGAUUUUAGUACACUAGCCGCACCACUCACUAAAAUUGUUAAAAAAUCUGUGGGUAUUAAAUGGGGCAGUAAGUAAGAUCGUGCAUUUAUUUAAAUUAAAGAAAGGUUAUGUGGUGCCCCUUUAUUAGCAUUACCUGAUUUUUCUAAGACUUUUGAGAUUGAGUGUGACGCCUCAGGAAGAGGUAUUGGAGCUGUUUUGAUGCAGGAGAAGCAACCAAUAGCCUAUUUUACUGAAAAGCUAAAUGGGGCAACUUUGAACUACCCAACAUAUGACAAGGAGCUUUAUACACUGGUGAGAGCAUUGGAGACUUGGCAACAUUACCUUUGGCUGAAAGAAUUUGUUAUACAUAGCGACCAUGAGUCCUUGAAGUACUUAAAAGGACAAGGUAAGUUUAAUAGAAGGCAUGCCAAGUGGGUGGAAUUCAUUGAGACCUUCCCUUAUGUAAUCAAAUACAAACAAGGUAAGGAAAAUAUUGUGGCUGGUGCAUUAUAAAGAAGGUAUGCUCUUGUCUCUACUUUAAAUGCAAAGUUAUUAGGAUUUGAAUAUGUUAAGGAACUUCCGCAUCUAUAUUCGCAUCUUCCUCAUAUGUAGUCUCUACGCUUGAAAAAAAGCUUUUUGAUCGCAUCUGAAACGACAACAAGUGUGUGCAUUUCCUUAUCAAAGCCCUUGAACUAACCUUUUAGGCACAAAGGGCAUUCUGAGGCUGAAUUGUGUGGAUUCACCAGGCACCCACCAUAAUAUUGAUUUGUUGAAAACAGCUCCUUCGUCUACCGCGCCUAUUUGUAUUGCUACAAUCAUGCUUACCGAUAUGCAACUGACUGAAUAGGACAUAUGGCCGGGCAGGACGGCUUUGCUUAAGACCGGAAUGCUACCCCCGCUCGAACUCACUUUCAACGCUCGAACUCAAGAACUAAACUCAAGUCAUUGCUCCGCUCAUGCUUGCUUCCCUUGCCUAUCUAAAAGAAGAAAAGAUGCACGAGCAUGUGAGAAGACAGCAUUUGGUAAAUUCUAUAGACUAGAUGGGUACUUGUUUAGAGAGAAUAGACUUUGUGUGCCUAAUAGUUCUAUGCGUGAAGCACAUGGAGGUGAUUUAAUGGGUCACUUUGGUGUAAGAAAGACUUUAGACGUAUUACAUGAAUAUUUUUUUUGGCCAAAGAUGAAACGUGAUGUGGAGAGAGCUUGUGCUAGAUGCAUUACAGGCCAAAUCUAGAGUCUUACCACAUGGAUUAGACACUCCUUUACCUGUACCUAGUGCACCUUGGGUCAGGUUUCUAUAAAAAAUCUGUAUUUUAGCUUUCUUGGGCAAUUAUUCCAAUACUGUUUGUUGGGUCUCAAAGCGUGUCGAUUGAGGUUUGCAUCAGUUAGAUAGAACAUAGGAUGACGUUCCAAUGAUGAUAAAUGAAAUGAACAGAGAAUAAAUUGAGAUAGAACCUAAGAUGGUGUCCUAAUUAUUAGAAACCAGUUGAACAACGAUUAAACUGAGAUAGAACCUAGAAUGGUUACAUUAAUUAGAAACUAAAGGAAAAAAAAGAAGAAAUUUAAAUAGAACCUAGGAUGGGGUCCUAAAUGAUCAAAGAAUAAAUAGAGAUAGAACAUAGGAUGGUGUGCCAAUGAUGAGAAACCAAAGGAAUAAAGAAGAAAUUUAGAUAGAACCUAGGAUGGUGUCCCAAUGAUAAUGAGAAACCAAACAAAAAAAUGAUCAAAUAUAGAUAGAACCUAGGAUGGUAUCCCAAAUGACCAGAGAAUAAAAUGACAAAGAACAUAGGAUGGUGUUCCAAUGAUGAGAAACCAAAGGAACAAACAAUUAAACUUCAAUAGAAGCUACAAUAGCAUUGCAAUGAUGAGAAACCAAAUGAACAAAGAAUUAAUUGAGAUAGAACCCAGGAUUGUAACCCGGUGAUAAGAAACCAAAGGAACAAACAACGCCAUCCUAGGUUCAUCCUAAACUUACUCAUUUGUUCCUUUGGUUUCUAUUCAUUGGGACACAAUCCUAAGUUUUAUCUUAGUUUAUUCUUUAUUCCUUUGGUUUCUCAUCAUUAGAACACCAUCCUAUAUUUUAUAUCAGUUUAUUCCUUGUUCAUUUUGUUUCUCAUCAUUACGACACCAUUCUAGGGUCUAUUUAAGUUUCUUCUAUUUUUCCCAUAGUUUCUCAUCAUUGGAAUGCCAUCGUAGGUUCUAUCAAAGUUGAUUUGUUUCUUCCUUUGGUUUCUUAUCUUUGAGAUACUAUCCUAGGUUCAACCUAAGUUUUGUCAUUGUUCCUUUGGAUUCUCAUCAUUGGGACACCAUCCUUUGUUCUUUCUAUGUUUAUUCUUUGUUCAUUUCAUUUCUCCUCAUUUGGAUGCCAUCCUAGGUUUCUUGUCAUUGGCAUACUACCUCAAUUUUUUCUUUGUUCCUUUAGUUUCUCAUUAAUGAGACGCCAUCCUAGGUUCUAUCAAAGCUGAUUUGUUUCUUCUUUUGGUUUCUCAUCUUUGCGACACGAUCCUAGGUUCAACCUAAAUUUCAUCUUCGUUCCUUUGGAUUCUCAUCAUUGGGACACCAUCCUACUUUCUUUCUCGGUUUAUUCUUUAUUCAUUUUGUUUCUCUUCAUUUGGACACCAAGCUUGGUUAUUUCUAAACUUAAUCGUUUGUUCCUUUGGUUUCUCAUCACUUGGACAACAUUUUUCUAUCUCAGGUUAUUCCUUUUUCAUUUGGUUUCUCGUCAUUGGAACUUUCCUAGGUUCUAUUUAAGUUUAAUCAUUUGUUCCUUUGAAUUCUCAUCAUUGGGACACCAUCUUAUGUUCUUUCCCAUUUUAUACUUUUUUCAUUUCGUUUCUCAUCAUUGAGACAUCAUCGUAGGUUCUAUUUAAGCUUAAUCAUUUGUUCGUGUGGUUUAUCAUCGUUGGGACACCAUCUUAGACUCAAUCUAAGUUUUUUCUUUUUUGCACUUGUUUCUCAUCAUUGGGACAACAUCCUAUGUUUUCUCUUAGUUUAUUCUUUGCUCAUUUGGUUUCUCAUCAUUGGAACGCCAUCCUAGGUUCUAAUUUUCUUAUUUUUUACUUUAGUUUCUUAUCAUUGGUACAUCAUCCUUUGUUCUAUCUCAGUUGUUUCUUUAUAUCUUUGGUUUCUAAUCAAUGGGGCACCAUUGUAGGUUCUAUGAAAGAUAAUUCGUUUCUUUCUUUGGUUUGUCAUCUUUGCGACACUAUCCUAGGUUCAUACUAAGUUUCGUCUUUGUUCCAAUAGUUUCUCAUCAUUGGGGCAACAUUCUAGGUUCUAUCUUAGUUUAUUCUUUGUUCUUUUGGUGUCUCAUCAUCAGAUAAGCUUCCUAGGCUCUAUCUUAGUUUAUUCUUCGUUCCUUUGGUUUCUCACCAUUGGUACGCCAUCUUAGGUUUUAUCUCAACUUAUAUUCUUUGUUCCUUUGGUUUCUUGUCAUAAGGCCACCUUCCUAGGUUCUAUCUCAAUUUUUAUUAUUUGUUUUUUUGGAUUCUUAUCAUUGGGACACCAUCCUUGUCACAUCCCCGUUUUUAGAACUUAACAAUUGAUACUUAAAUACAACAUAAGUGCUUUAAAAAAUUUGGGGAUACAAAAAUUUAAAUGCUGGGUUCCUGCUUGAUUUUGUGCAAAAAGAGAAUAUGGAAAGCUACUUGAUUAGUUAACAAAAUAUGAUCCGUUUCACAAAAAGAACUUGUACUGUGUUACUUUACAUAUAACCCCAUAGUUCACUUUGGGUAGCCCAUACUACAAGUGUACAUGAAUAAUAUACAUUACACCAUUCCUUCAAAAAGAUUGAGUCUUUGUAUGAUACAAAGGAAAAGCCUCAAAACACUUUCAAUAUGAGCAAACAACAUCCAAUCAACAAAAAAGCAAUGGUCAAGAAUUAUUUCCAGCAUAAAUCUUCUCACCUGCAUCUAAAGGUGGAAGGGAUAGGGUGAGUUCAAACCUCAGUAGGAAAGUUUAUAACCAUCUUAAACAUACCCUUAAAAACCUUGAAUUAAACGUAUAAUAACAUUUGUGAUAAACAUUUUAUAAUCCUUAUCAAAUAUGCAAUAAUGUCAAACACGUAUGCAUGCGUUUGCUGGUUUCGUCUCUGCUUUUCCUCAUCCAUCCUUUCACAACUGAUAAACUGAUAACCCCCAACAAUGUACACACCAGAUAUCAAUGCUCCACAAGAUACUCGGUCAAUAUAAUAAUAUGAUUAUUCUAGGACUAUCACCCAAGGGUAAAUCAUAGACCUGUGUCUUCUUGGACUCAUACCUACGGGAAUGACCAACCCCGUAUCUUUAGGGACUAAAACCCAAGGGCAAGACCAACCCCAUACACACACAUCGGAGUGUCUUCCUCGAGGGCUCUAGGGACUUUCACCCAAGGCCCCAUGGUCUCACAUAAACAAUGUAAUACCUAGCACUAAUGAUUAUCUUAGUACUUAACUUUAAAUGUGCUUAAUUAGAUGUUACAACUAGUUUUAGUGUUAAUCCUAUUUAAUUAUGAAUUAAAGUUUGAUUAAGGUUAAUUGAGAUUAGUUCUUGACUUAACCAUGCUUAUUAGGUUUUUAGGGGUUCAUUAUAGUUUUGAAAAUCUAAAGGACUAAUGGGCAAUUAUGGGUUUUAUUUUUGAUAACUUGAAGGACUAAAGUGCAAAAUUGGGAAGUUGCAGUUAGUGGCAUGCCACCUCCUACUUGGGUGGAUUGGUGGUAGCCAUGUGGCCUGCCACCUCCUACUUGGCUCCAUGGAAAGCCCUAUAUAAGGGGUUGCAGCUCGUUUUGCACCAUUUUAGUUGCGGCAAGUUGGGUUAGAGAGAGAAUUUUAGAGAGAAAGUGAAGAUUUGAGAUUAAGCAAGUUGUUUAUUUUAGUUCCUAAUGUUAUGCUGAAACAAAUUAACGGUAAAAUUUGUGUAAAAGUUGAGUGUAAUUAGCUAUAAACAUGUUUUAGUUAAAAAUCACAAUUAAUUAGGGAUUAAAGUAUUUUAACUUAAGUAUUUUAUUAAUGGUAAGAUUAGCAUAAAUCUUGUUUAAUUGAAAAUUAGAUUAGUGAACAUGUGAUUAAUUAGGUUAUUUGGACAUUUGGGAUUUGUUAAUAGGUUAGGCUUUCAGAAAAUCACAGGAAUUAGUGUUUAGUAAUUAAUUACGGAAUAUUAAUAUGUAUUGUAAAUAUUGUUUAAUUCAAUUCAAAUUUGAUUUGAAAACCUGUAGGCAUGUAGAUUAGAGAAUAGUAGAAUUAAAAAAAAAAAAAUUAGCAACAGUAAAUUGUUUAAAUUUUCAUCGUUUGGAAGUCUAAAUUAUGUGUUUCAUUCCAGUUCCUUGUGUAGGUAAAGAUUGCCUACAUAGAACAAUCACAGAGGGAAAGCCCGUGUAAGGUAGGGAAUUUCAUGUUAUCCCAUAGUGUAUCUGAUUUCUUUUCUUGAUACAUUUAUUGGAAAUUUCAUGUCAUUUCUAUGAUUUCCUAAAAUGUUUUAAUGUGUCAUUGCAUUUUAUUUUAUUGUGUUGAAAUGUUACAUUGAGAUUGGAACGCAUAUUGGUAUGAAGAUUCAUGUUUCUGUGUUGUGGAAAUGGUUUAUGGUGUGGUUGCAUUGACAGAAGGAUAUGGAAUAAUCACAGAUGAUAUUAAGAGAAUUGAUUGAUGGGAAGUAUUUAUGCGAUGCUACAGACAUUAUCUUUAGAUAUAUUGUUUAUGUUGGACUGUGGGUCCUUGGGUGAAAGUCCCUGAAGCCCUCGAGGAAGACACUCAAAUGUGGGUGUAUGGGGUUGGUCCUGCCCUUGGGUUUUAGUCCCUAAAGACAUGGGGUUGGUCCUGCCCUUGGGUAUGAGUCCAAAAAGACACAGGUAUGACUUGCCCUUGGGUGAUGUCCCAAAAUAGUUAUUAUUAUAGUGACCGUGUAUCUUGUGGAGCAUUGAUAUUUGAUAUAUAGAUUGGUGGGGUGAAUAGUUUAUCAAUUGUGAAAGUAUGCACAAGGAAAAACAAAAAUCAUUAUGGCCUAUUUAAUUCAUUAGUGCUAGGUAUUACAAUAUCAGUUUAUUCUUUGUUUAUUUUCUUUCUCAUCAUUGGGACAUCAUCCUAACUAGGACUUUGUAUUUGAAGUUGAAGGAUUUUGCACUAGAUCUAAUUGUUCAAUUCUUUUUGUUAAACAUUUGAUUAAGUCAUCAUUAUUUGAAAGUUUAACUAUCUUAUUCCCUACCUCUACGGGUUUGAAAAUUGAAUGAUUUUUGUCUAAGUUUCUAUCUAGAAACUGUGGUGUGACAAUUUGAGGUGUCUCUAGUUUAUCUUCUAUCCUAUCAACUUGAGAGGAGAGGGUGCUUAGAAUUUAAUUUGUGGAAUUAUUUUGUUGUUGAAGGCUGUUAUAGUCUUUUAGUGUUGUUGUUCAUCUUUCAAUUUCUUUUGAAUAUAUUUUUUUGAAAGGUGAAGCUAUUAUUGCAAUGUUCCAAGCAGUUAUGGUUAUUUCCUCUCAAGUAGGAAUAGGUUCUAUCUAACCUUAAUCGUUUAUUCCAUUGGUUUCUUAUCAUUGGGACAUAUCCCUAGGUUCUAUCUCAAUUUAUUCUUUGUUCAUUUGGUUUCUCAUUAUUGGGACACAAUCCUAGGUUCUAUCUUAGUUUAUUCUUCGUUAAUUUGAUUUUUCAUCAUUAGGACGCCAUCCUGGGUUCUAUCUCAGUUUAUUCUUUAUUCCUGUGGUUUUCAUUCUUAGGACACCAUCUUAUGUUCUUAGGUUCUAUUUGAGCUCAUCUUAUUUUUUGUUUCUCAUCAUUGGGACAUCACCAAGUUUCUAUCUCAGUAUAUUCUUUGUUCAUCUGGUUUCUUCUCAUCAUUGGGAUCCAAUCCUAGGUUCUAAUUUUCUUAUUUGUUCCUUUGGUUUCUCAUUAUUGGGUUAAAUUCCUAGGUUCUCUAUAAAGUUAAUCAAUUAUUCAAUUGGUUUCUCAUCAUUGGGUUGAAUUCUUAGGUUCUAUAUAAGCUUAAUCAUUUGUUUGUUUGGUCUCUCAUCAUUAGGACCCGAUCCUAGGUUCUAUCUAAGUUUCUUCUUUAUUUAUUUGGUUUCUCAUAAUUGGGACACCAUUCUAUCUCAAUUUAUUCUUUGUUCUUUUUGUUUCUUAUUAUUGGGUCACCUUACUAGGUUCUAUCUCAGUAUAUUCUUUGUUUCAUUUAGUUUCUUAUGAUUGGGAAAUCAUCCUAAAUUCUAUCUAAGCUUAAUCAAUUGUUUGUUUGGUUUCGGAUCAUGGGGACAACACCCUAUGUUCUAUAUUAGUUUGUUCUUUGUUUAUAUGGUUUCUCAUCAUUGGGGGUCAAGGUUCUAUCUCUUUUUAUUCUUAGUUUAUUUUGUUUCUCAUCAUUUCGGAUGUCAUCAUAGGUUCUAUCUAAUCUUAAUAAUUUGUUACUUUGGUUUCUUAUUAUUGGGACACCAUCCUAGGUUCUAUCUAAGUUUAAUCUUUUUUUCCUUUGGUUGCUAAUGGUUGGGACACACCCGUAGGUUCUAUCUUAGUUUCUUCCUUGUUUCUUUGGUUUCUCAUCAUUGGGACACCAUCCUAAGUCCAGUCUAAGUUUCUUCUUUAUUCCUUUAGUUUCUCAUCUGUUGGCCACCAUCCUAGGUUAUCUUUGUUUAUUCUUUGUUCAUUUAGUUUCUCAUCAUUAGGACACCAUCCUAGGUUUUGUGUAAACUUAAUUGUUUGUUCCUUUGGUUUCUUGUCAUUGGGAGACUAUCCUUGGUUCUAUCUCAGUUUAUUCUUUCUUCAUUUGGUUUCUCAUCAUUGGGGCACUAUCCUAGGUUCAAUCUUAAUUUAUUCUUUGUUUUUUCAGUUUUUCAUCAUUCGGACACCAUCCUAUUCUAUCUCAGUUUCUUCUUUGUUACUUCUAUUUCUCAUCCUUGAGGCACCAUCAUAGGUUUGAUCUUAGUUUAUUCUUUGUUUCCUUCGAAUUCUCGUCGUUUGGACACUAUCCUGGGUUCUAUCUAAGCUCAAUAGUUGGUUCCUUCGGUUUAUCAUCGUCAUUGGGAUGCGAACCUAGGUUCAAUCUAACUGUCGUCUUUGUUGCUUUGGUUUCUCAUCCUUUGGAGACCAUCCUACGUUCUAUCUCAAUUAUUGUUUGUUCAAUUGCUUUCUCAUCAUAGGUACACCAUUCUAGGUUCUUUCUAAACUAAAUUAUUUGUUCUUUUGGUUUCCUUUCAUUGCAACACUGUCCUAGGUUCUACGUCAAUUUAUUCUUUGGUUAUUUGGUUUCUCAUCAAUUGGACACCAUCCUAGGUUCUAACUUAGUUUAUUCUCUGUUCAAUUGAUUUCUCAUCAUUGAGACACUAUCCUAGCAUCUAUCUAUACUUAAUCAUUUGUUCCAUUGGUUCCUCAUGAUUGGGACACGAUCCUAGGUCCUAUCUCCAUUUAUUCUUUGUUCCUUUGGUUUCUAAUCAUUGGUACACUAUCCUAUGUUCUAUCUAAGCUUAAUCGUUUGCUCGUUUGGUUUCUUAUCAUUAGGACACUAUCCUAGGUUUCUAUCUAAAUUUUUUCUUUAUGCCUUUGGUUUCUCAUCUUUGGGAUACCAACGUAGGUUCUAUCUCAAUUUAUUCUUUGUUGAUUUGAUUUCUCAUCAUUGGGUUGACAUCCUAUGUUCUAUAUAAGUUUAAUAAUUCGUUCAUUAGUUUUCUCAUGAUUGGGACACCAUCUGCGUUUCUUCAUAGUUCCUUUGGUUUCUUAUCAUUUGGACACCAUCCUAAAUUCGACCUCAGUUUAUUCUUUGUUCCUGUGGAUUCUCGUCAUACGUACAAACUCCUAAGUUCUAUCUCAAUUUAUUUUUUGUUCCUUUUUUUCUAAUCGUUGGAACGCCAUCCUAGAUUCUAUCUAAGAUUAAUCGUUUGUUCCUUUGGUUUCUAAUCAUGUGGAUACAAUCCUAGGUUCAAUAUAAGUUUCUUCUUUGAUCCUUUGGUUUCUCAUCCUGUGGACACAAUCCUAAGUUCUAUCUAAAUUAAUUCUUUGUUCAUUUGGUUUCUUAUCAUUGGGAAGCAAUCUAAUGUUCUUUCUAUGUUUCUUUUCUUUCUCAUCAUUGGGACACCAUCAUAGUUUCUAUCUCAUCUUAAUCUGUGUUUAUUUCGUUUCUCAUUGUUGUGAGUCUAUCCUAUGUUUUAUCUAAACUUUAUUGUUUGUUCUUGUGACUUCUCAUCAUUGGGACACUAUCCAAGGUUCAAUCUAGGUUUACUCUUUGUUCCUUCUGUUUUCUCAUCAUUGGGACAACAUCCUCGGUUUUGUCUCUAUUUAUGUUUUAUUCCAUUGGUUUCUCAUCCUUUGGAUGUUAUCCUAUGUUCUAACCUUAAUUGUUUCUUCCUUUGCUUUUGCAUCAAUGCUACACCAUCUUAGGUAUCUCAAUUUAUUCUUUAUUCGUUUUGUUUCUCACUGUUGGAACACUAUCAUAGAUUCUAUCUAAGCUUAAUCAAUUGUAAGUUUGGUUUCUCAUCAAUUGGAAUCCUAGGUUCAAUGUUAGUUUAUUCUUUGUUCAUUUUGUUUCUCAUCUUAGUACUAUACUUUAAGCAUGCUUAUUAGGUUCUUAGGGGCUGAUUAGGGUUAUGAAAACCUAAAGGACUAAUGGGCAAUUAUGGGUUUUAUUUUUGAUAACUUGAAGGACUAAAGUGUAAAAUAUGGAAAUUGGAGUUAGUGGAAUGCCACCUCCUGCUUGGGUGGAUUGGUGGCAGCCAUGUGGACUGCCACCUCAUGCUUGGCUGCAUGGAGACCCCUUUUUAAGGGGACUGCAGCUCGUUUUCCAUCAUUUCACCUGUAGCAACUUGGGUUAGAGAGAGAAAGUGUAGAUUAGAGGUAACCAAGUUGUUUAAUUUUGUAAUUUUCGUUUAUUUUGGUUCUUAAUGGUAUGCUGAAAAGAAUUAAUGGUAUAUUUGUGUAAAAGUUUAGUUUAAUUAGCUAUAAACACGUUUUAGUAAAAAAUCACAAUUAAUUAAGUUUUAAAUUAUUUUAUUAAUGGUAAGAUAAGCAUAAAUCUUCGUUUAAUUUGGUUUGAUUGAAAAAUAGAUUAGUAAACAUGUGAUUAAUUAGGUUAUUUGGACACUUGGGAUUUGUUAAUGGGUUAGGCUUUAAGAAAAUCAAAACAGUUUGUGUUUGGUAUUUAAUUAGGGAAAUUAAUAUGGAUUGUAAAUAUUGUUUAAUUCAAUUCAAAUUUGAUUGAAAUCCUAAAGGUAUAUAGAUUAGAGAAUAUGAGAAUUAAAAAUUAGCAACAGUAAACUAUUUAAAUUUUCAUGGUUAGGAAACCUAAAUUAUGUUGUUUCAUUUCAUUUCACGUUAUUUCUAUGAUUUCAUAAAAUGUUUUAAUGUGUCAUUGCAUCUCGGUUUAUUGCAUUGAAAUGGUACCAUGAUAUUGGAACGUAUAUUGGUUUGAAGAUUCAUGGUUUUGUGUAUUCAAAAUGGUUCGGGGUGUGGUUGCAUUGCAAGAAGGAUAUGGAAUUAUCACAUAUGAUAUUCAGAGAAUUGAUUGGUGGGAAGUGUUUAUGUGAGAUAUUGAUAUAUUGUUUAUGUGUGUCCUUUGGUGGAAGUCCCUAAAGCCCUCGAGGAAGACGCUCUGAUGUGGGUGUAUGGGGUUGGUCCUACCCUUGGGUUUUAGUCCCUGAAGACAAGUUGGUCUUGCCCUUGGGUGAUGUCCCAGAAUAGUCAUUAUGAUAUUGAUCAAGUAUCUUGUGGAGCAUUGAUAUAUGAUGUGUAGAUUGGUGGGGGUUAGCAGUUUAUGAUUGUUGAAAGGAUGGAUGAGGAAAAGCAAAGAUGAAACCAACACACACAUGCAUACAUGUUUGACAUGAUUACACAUUUGUUUAUGGUUAUAAAAUGUUUAUGCAUGCUAUUAAACAUUUAAUUUAGGGUUUUUAAGGGUAUGCUUAGGAUGGUUAUAAACUUUCCUACUGAGUUGUGAACUCACCCUAUCCCUUCCACCUCUAGAUGCAGGAAAUAAUGCUUUAUUGUGAUUGGAUGUUGUUUGCUCGCAUUGAAAGUCUUUUGAGGCCUUGCCUUUUAUAUCAAAGAUUGAAUCUUUUUAUAGGAAUGAUGUAAUAUAUAUAUAUAUAUAUAUAUAUAUAGGUACAGUUGUAGUAUGGGCUACCUGUAGUGUACAAUGGGGUUUUGGUAUAUGUAAAUUAAUGUAGUACAAGUUUCUUUUAAGAAACAAACCAUAUUUUGUUAACUACAAGUUAUAAAGUUUAAUACAUGAUGUACUCCUUAUAGCAGUUUUUGCAUAUCCUCUUUUGUACAAAAUCGAGCAGGAACUCAACAUUUAAAUCUUUGAGAGCACUUAUACUGUGUUUGAGUAUCAAUUGUUUACUUUGAAGAAUAAAAAAAAAACUGGGGUGUGACACUAUACAUAAUCAUUUGUUUUCUCAUCAUUGGGACAUCAUCCUAGGUUCUUUCUUAGUUUAUUCUUUGUUCAUUUAGUUUCAUAUCAUCCUAGGUUCUAUUAUGGAGAUGGUUCUAUCUAGGUUUCUCCUUUCUUCCUUUAGUUUCUCAUUGUCGGUACACCAUCCUAGGUUCUAUCUCAGUUUUUUCUUUCUUCAUUUGGUUUCUUAGCAUUGAGACACUAUCCUAGGUUCUAUCAAACCUUAAUUGUGUGUUCCUUCGAUUUAUGAACCAAUUUGGGACACCAUGAUAGGUUUUAUUUUAGUUUAAUGUUUGUUCCUUUGGUUUCUCAUCACUUGGACAAUAUCCUAUCUUCUAUCUAUGCUUAUUGCUUGUUUAUUUGUUUUCUCAUCAUUAGGACACCCUCCUAGGCUCUAUCUAAGCUUAAAUGUUAGUUCCUUUCGUUUCUUAUCAAUAGGACUACAUCCUAGGUUGAACCUUAGUUUCUUCUCUCUUCAUGUGGUUUCUCAUCAUUGUGACACCAUCCUAUUCUAUCUCAGUUUUUUCUUUCUUCAUUUGUUACUUCGGGUUUCUGAACAUUGGGAUACCAUCCUAGGUUUAUUUUAAGUUUGAUGUUUUUUCCUUUGGUUUCUCAUCAUCGAUAAACCAUCCUAGGUUCUAUCUUAGUUUAUUAUUUUAGGUACAACCUAGAAUGGUGUCCAUAUGGUGAUAAAUCAAUGAAACUAAGAAUAAAAUUAGAUAAAACCUAAAAGGGUGUCCCAAUGAUAAGAAAGCAAAUGAACUAAGGUUAGAUAGAACCUAGGAUGGCGUCCUACUGAAAAGAAAUGAAAGGACCAAAGAAUAAAUUUAUAUAGAACCUACGAUUGUGUCCCAAUGACAAGAAUCCAAAGGAUCAAACAAUUGAGCUUAUAUAAUCUAGGAUGGUGUCCCAAUGACUAGAAACAAAAUGAACAAGAAUAAUUUGAGAUAGAACCAAGGAUGGUGUCCCAGUGAUUAGAAACCUAAGGAACAAACGAUUUAGCUUCAAUAGAACCUAGAAUGGUGUCCCAAUGAUCCGAAACCAAACAAACUAGGGAUUAAGCUUACAUAGACCUAGGAUGGCAUCCCAAUGAUGAUAAAUGAAAUGAACAAAGAAUAAACUGGGAUAGAAACUAGGAUGGUGUUGUAAUCCCUAGCACUAAUAAAUAAAAUAAGCAAUAAUAAUUAUUUUAGUACUUAACUUUAAACGUGCAUAAUUAGAUGUUAAAACUAGUUUAAUGUUAAUCAUGUUUAAUUAUGAAUUAAACUUUGAUUAAGGUUCAGUGGGAUUAGUUAAUGACUUAAGCAUGCUUAUUAGGUUCUUAUGGGCUGAUUAGAGUUAUGAAAACCUAAAGGACCAAUGGGUAAUUGUAAAGUGCAAUUAUGGAAAGUUGGGGUUGGUGGCAGCCAUGGCCUACCACCUCCUACUUGGCUGCAUGGAGACCCCUUUAUAAGGGGCUUAAGCUCGUUUUGCACCAUUUCACCUGAAGCAGCUUGGGUUAGAGAGAGGAUCUAGAGAGAGAAAGUGUAGAUUUGAGGUAAGCAAGUUGUUUAAUUUAGUAAUUUUGGUUCCUAAUGGUAUGUUAAAACAAAUUAAGGGUAAAAUUCAUGUAAAAGUUGAGUGUAAUUAGCUAUAAAAAUGUUUUAGUUAAAAAAAAAAUCACAAUACAUAAGAAUUAAAGUAUUUUAUUAAUGGUAAGAUCAGCAUAAAUCUUUGUUUAGUUUGGUUUGAUUCAAAAAUAGAUUAGUAAACAUGUGAUUAAUUAGGUUAUUUGGACACUUAGGUUAUGUUACUAGGUUAGGCUAUAGGAAAAAAAAAAAAAAAAACAAUUGGUGUUUGGUAAUUAAUAUGAGAAUUAAAAAUUAAUAACAGUAAGUUGUUAAAAAAUAGUAAGAAAGGAAAAUUUCAUAAGUUUUAAUUGAAUAAAUUUUCAUGGUUAAGAAACCUAAAUUAUGUUGUUUUAUUUCAGUUCCUUGUAAUAGGUAAAGAUCGCUUACAUAGGAGAAUCACAAAGGGAAAGUUCGUGUAAGGUAGGGAAUUUUAUACUGUUCCUUGGUGUAGAUGAUUUCGUACCUUGAAACAUAUACUAGAAUUUCAUGUCAUUUCUAUGAUUUCAUAAAAUAUUUUAAUGUGUCAUUAAAUCUCGGUUUAUUGUAUUGCAAUGUUACAAUGAGAUUGGAACAUAUAUUGGUAUGAAGACUCAUUGUUCCGUGUUGUGGAAAUGGUUCAUGGUGUGGUUGCAUUGUAAGAAGGAUAUGGAAUAACCACAGAUGAUAUUCAAAGAAUUGAUUGUGAGAAGUGUUUAUGUGAUGCUACAUGCAUUAUCCUUUGGUAUAUAGUUUAUGUGGGACCGUGGGUCCUUGGGUGAAAGUCCCUAAAUCCCUCGAGGAAGACACUCCGAUGUGGGUGUAUGGGGUUGGUCCUACCCCUGGGUUUUAGUCCCUAAAGACACGGGGUUGGUCCUGCCCUUGGGUAUGAGUCCCAGAAGACAUGGGGUUUGACUUACCCUUGGGUGAUGCCCCAGAAUAGUUAUUAUUAUAUUGACCUAGUAUCUUGUGGAGCAUUGAUAUCUGAUGUUUAGAUUGGUGGGGGUUAGCAAUUUAUCAGUUGUGAAAGGAUGGAAGAGGAAAAACAAAAAUGAAACUAGAAAACACAUGCAUACAUGUUCGAUAUGAUUGGAUAUUUAUUAAUGGUUAUAAAAUGUUUACCAUGCAUGCUAUUAAACAUUUAAUUCAAGGUUUAUAAGGGUAUGCUUAGGAUGAUUAUAAACUUUCCUACUGAGUUGUGAACUCACCCUAUCCUUUCCACCUUUAGAUGCAAGUCAGAAGACCUAUAUAGGAAAUAAUGCUUGAGCAAUUCUUUACUGUGAUUGGAUGUUGUUUGCUCGCAUUGAAAGUGUUUUGAGGCUUUGCUUUUGUAUUAAAGACUGAAUCUUUUUGUAGGAAUGAUGUAAUAUAUAUAUAUAUAUAUAUAUAUAUUUGUCAGGUACACUUGUAGUAUGGGCUACCCGUAGUGAACCAUGGGGUUUUCGUAAAUGCAAAUUAACUUAAUACAUGUUUCUUUUGUGAAAUGAAACAUAUUUUGUUAACUGAUAGUUACAAAGUUUAAUAUAAGAUGUACUCUUUAUAACAAGUUUUGCAUAUCCUCUUUUUGCACAAAAUCAAACAGGAACUCAACAUUUAAAUUUUUGUAUCCCCAUAUUUUUAAGAGCACUUAUACUGUCUUUGAGUAUCAAUUGUUCAGUUAAAAAAAAAAAAAAAAAAAAAACAGGCUGUGACAGGUGUUGCAUUGAUUCGAAAGAAAAUGAAGAAACGAUUAUGGUUAGAUAGAACAUAGGAUGGCUUUAUAAUGAAGAAAAACCAAAGGAACAAAGAAUAAACUAAGAUAAAACCUAGGAUAAUUUCCAAAUGAUGAGAAAAGAAAGGAACAAAGAGGAAACUGAUAUAGAACCUAGGGUUGUAUCCCAAUGAUAAGAAACAAAAGGAAGAAUCGAUUAAGCUUAGAUAGAACCUAGGAUUGCGUCCCAAUUAUGAGAAACGAAACGAACAAAAAAUAACCUAAGAUAAUACAUAGGAUGGUGUCGCAUUGAUGCUAUAGCAAAGGAAGAAACAAUUAAGGUUAGAAAGAACAUAGGAUGGUGUCCUAAUAAUUAGAAACAAAGGAACAAAGAAUAAACUAUGAUAGAACCUAGGAUGGUGUGCCAAUGAUGAGAAACCAAAGGAACAAAUGAUUAAGCUUAGACAAACCUAGGAUGGUGACCCAAUAAUGAGAAGACAAACAAUUGAACUUAGAACCUAGGAUAGCGUCCCAAGGAUGAGAAACGAAAUGAACAAUGAAUAAAAUGAGAUAGAACCUAGGAUUGUUUUCCCAAUGAUGAGAAACUAAUGGAACAAACUAUUAAGUUUAGACAGAACCUAAGAUGGCGUCCCAAUGUUGAGAAACCAAAUGAAUAACUAAUAAACUGAGAUAGAACUCAGGAUGGUGUCGCAUUAAUGCAAAGGCAAAGGAAAAAACAAUUAAGGUUAGAUAGAACAUAGGAUGACAUCCUAACGAUGAGAAACCAAACAAAUAAACAAUUAAGCUUAGAACCUAGGAUGGUGUCCUAAAGAUGAGAAACUAAAUGAACAAACGAUUAAGCUUUAGAUAGAACCUAGGAUGGUGUCCUAAUGAUGAGAAAUGAAAGGACCAAAGAAUAAACAUAGAUAUAACCUGCGAUGUUGUCCUAAUGACAAGAAUCCAGAGAACCAAAUGAUUAAGCUUAGAUAGAAUCCAGGAUGACAUCCCAAUGACUACAAAUAAACUAAACAAAGAAUAAACUAAUAUAGAAUCUAGGAUGGUGUCCCCAUGAUGAGAAACCAAAGGAACAAAGAAGAAAUUUAGAACCUAGGAUGGUGUUCCAGUGAUGAGAAACCAAAGGAACAAAUGAUUGAGCUUAGAUAGUACCUAGGAUGGCAUCCCAUUGAUGAGAAACGAAAUGAAUUGGGAUAGAACUUAGGAUGGUGUCCUAAUGAUGAGAAACCAAAGGAACAAUGAAGAAACUUAGAUAAAACUUAGGAUGGUAUCCUAAAGAUGAGAAACCAAAAGGAAUAAACGAUUAAACUUAGAUAGAAGCCAGGAUGGCGUUCCAAUGAUAAGAAACCAAAGGAAAAACCAAAGGAAGUGCUUAUGUGAUGCUACAGGCCUUAUCAUUUGAUAUAUUGUUUAUGUGGGACCGUGGGUUCUUGGGUGAAAGUUCCUAAAGCCCUCGAGGAAGACACUCCGAUGUGGGUGUAUGGGGUUGGUCCUGCCCCUGGGUUUUAGUCCCUAAAGACACGAGGUUGGUCCUGCCCUUGGGUAUGAGUCCCAAAAGACACGGGGUAUGACUUGCCCUUGGGUGAUGUCCCAGAAUAGUCAUUACUAUAUUGAUCGAGUGUCUUGUGGAGCAUUGAUAUCUGCUGUGUAGAUUGUUGGGAGUCAGCAAUUUAUCAGUUGUGAAAGGAUGGAUGGGGAAAAGUAAUGAUAAAACCAACAAACACAUGCAUAUAUGUUUGACAUGAUUACACAUUUGUUAAUGGUUAUGAAAUGUUUAUCAUGCAUGUUAUUAAAUGUUUAAUUCAAGGUUUUUAAGGGUAUACUUAGGAUGGUUAUAAACUUUCCUACUAAGUUGUGAACUCACCCUAUCCCUUCCACCUCUAGAUGCAGGUCAGAAGACCUAUGCAGGAAAGAAUGCUUGAGCAAUGCUUUACUGUGAUUGGAUGCUGUUUGCUCAUAUUGAAAGUCUUUUGAGGCCAUGCCUUUUGUAUCAAGACUAAACCUUUUGUUGGAAUGAUGUAAUGUAUAUAUUUGUCAGAUACACUUGUAGUAUGGGCUACCCGUAGUAAACAAUGGGGUUUGGUAUAUGUAAAUUAAUGUUGUACAAGUUUCUUUUGUGAAACAAAACAUAUUUUGUUAACUUAAUAGUCACAAUGUUUAAUACAGGAUGUACUCUUUAUAACAGGUUUUCCAUAUCCUCUUUUUGAACAAAUUCAAGUAGGAACUCAACAUUUAAAUUUUUGAGAGUACUUAUACUAUAUUUGAGUAUCAAUUCUUUAGUUGAAGAAUAAAUAAUAAUAAUAAUAAUAAGAAAAAAAAAAUUGGGGUGUGACAUUAAGCACUACAAUUAUCCAACUUUACAAGAUAAAAUUUUAAUAGCAUGGUAAAUAACCUAAUAACACAAAACCUAAAACAAGAUGAUUAAGUACUACAAUUAUCAAACUUUGUAAGAUAAAACAUCAUGACAUCAAAUCAAUCAAACUAAUUAAACUAAUUAAUUAAAACUAUAAAACUCGUGAAUUAAGUUGAAUCAAAUAAACUAAAAUGACACAAGCUUCAAAAUAAAAAUUUUAUCCUACAAAACAAUUAAUCUAGUGAGCUAUAAUAAUAAUAAAAAAAUUAUAACCUUUCUAUAUGAUACAAUAAAUAAAAAAUGAAACUAAAAACAAUUCUAACUUUUUAAUAUAAUAUGAUGAACUAAAAAAACUAAACUAAAAAAAUUAAAACCUUUUAAUAUAAUAUGAUAAAUUAAAAACUAAACAAAAAAUUUAUACCUUUCAAUAUAUAUAUAAUUAUUCAAAACCAAACUAAAAAAAAUCAACUUGUCAAACAUAUAUAAUUAAUCAAAAACCAAACUAAAAAAAAUCAACUUACCUUCCCAUUGUUGCGUGUGUGAAUCUCUUCUCCAUUAUGGUGCAUUGAAACAAACAACCGCUUUUCUUAAGUCCAACGUGCGGCUACUACCACCAUCUUAUGGUGUGUCCUAUGGAUAUCUUUUCAACUGUGUAUGGCAGCCUUUAUGUGGCUGUGUGUGGAGAAUUUUCUCCAAUGGAGUCCCAUGCUGCUGCUUCUUGUGGGAUACCACCCAAACUGUGGUGUGUGGUUGCCUCUUCUAUGCGUGCCUAUUGCAACCAUAAUUUUUCAAAACUAAAUUAACCAUGAGAUCAAAAGAAUAACCAAACUAAUGAUUUUUAAAAAUAACUAAACCAAGCAUAGUAUCAACAAAGCAACCAAACUAAUAAUUUUUUAAAACUAAACUAAACAUGAGAUUAAUGGAAUAACCACAUACUAAUGAUUUUUAAAAGAAACUAAACCAACUAUAAAAGCAACAAAGCAACCAAACUAAUAAUUUUUAUAAAUUAAAAUAACCAUGAGAUCAAAAGAAUAACUAAGCUAAUGAUUUUUAAAAAUAACUAAACUAAGCAUAGUAUCAACAAAGCAACCAAACUAAUAAAUUUUUUUUAAACUAAACUAAACAUAAGAUUAAAAAAAUAACAAAACUAAUGAUUUUUAAUAGAAUUAAACCAAACAAAACAUCAACAAAACAACCAAACUAAUAUUUUCAAAAACUAAACUAAACAUGAGAUUAACGGAAUAACCAAACUAAUUAUUUUGACAAGAAACUAAACUAAGCAUGAUUUCAACAGAGCAACAAAACUAAUAAUUUUUCAAAACUAAACUAAAUAUGAGAUCAAUUGAAUAACUAAACAAAUGACUUAUUAAAGAAACUAAAGUAUAAUAUCAACAAGACAACCAAAUUAAUAAUUUUUAAAACCAAAACUAAAUAUGAGAUUAACUAAAUUACUAAAAUAAGAUUUAUUCUCUUUUUUUUAUAAAAAAAAAAAAAAAUUGAACUAGGCAUGACAUCAACAAAGGACGGUAACUUGUAAUUUUUAAAAACUAAACAAAACAUGAGAUCAACCAAAUAACUAAACUAAUGUGUUUUAAAGGAAACUAAACUGUGCAUUAUAUCAACAAAGCAACCAAACUAAUAAUUUUUCAAAACUAAAGUAAGUAUGAGAUCAAAAGAAUAACCAAACUAAUGAUUUUUAAAAGAAACUAAACUAAUCAUAGUAUUAACAAAUCAAUUAUACUAAUAACUUUUAAAAACUAAACUAAACAUGAUAUUAAUGGAAUAACCAAACUAAUGAUUUUUAAAAGAAACUAAACUAAUCAUAGUAUUAAUAAAUCAAUUAUACUAAUAACUUUUAAAAACUAAACUAAACAUGAUAUUAAUGGAAUAACCAAACUAAUGAUUUUUAAAAGAAACUAAACUAAUCAUAGUAUUAACAAAUCAAUUAUACUAAUAACUUUUAAAAACUAAACUAAACAUGAUAUUAAUGGAAUAACCAAACUAAUGAUUUUUAAAAGAAACUAAACUCAGCAUAAUAUCAACAAAGUAGCAAAACUAAUAAUUUUUACAAACUAAAUAAAGCAUGAGAUAAAAAGAAUAGCCACACUAAUGAUUUUAAAAAGAAAUUAAACUAAGUAUAAUAAAGCAACUAAACUAAAAUAAUUUUUUAAAAUAAACUAAAUAUGAGAUUAACAGAAUAACCAAACUAAUGAUUUUUAAUAGAAUUAAACCAAGAAUAACAUCAACAAAGUAACCAAACUAAUCAUUUUUAAAAACUAAACUAAACAUUGGAUUAACAUAAUAACCAAAUUAAUGAUUUUGGAAAGAAACUAAACUAAGCAUGAUUUCAACAAAGAAACCAAACUAAUAAUUUCUAAAAAUUAAACUAAGCAUGAGAUGAACAAAAUAACCUAACGAAUGAUUUUUAAAAGAAUUAAACCAAGCAUAAUAUCAACAGAGUAACAAAACUAAUAAUUUUUUAAACCUAAACUAAAUAUGAGAUCAACUGAACAACUAAACUAAUGAUUUUUAAAAGAAACAAAACCAAGCAUAAUAUUAAGAAAGUAACAAAACUAAUAAUUUUUAAAAACUAGACCAAACAGGAGAUCAACAAAAUAAACAAACUAAUGAUUAUUUUUUUCAAAAAAAAAAAAAAAAACUAAACUAAGCAUAAUAUAAACAAAGAAACCAAACUAAUAAUUUUUCAAAACUAAACUAAGCAUGAGCAAGGAUUGAAAUAUCGGUAAAUAUGGAUAUAUCGAUACUUGGAUUUUAUGGAUAUAUCAGAAAUAUCGAAGAAAUAUCGGUGGAUAUUUUUCAUCAAAUAUCGGUGAGACAAAAAUUAUCCAAAAUUGAUGGGAAUGCAUAGAAAAAUCCAAAGAAUGAUAAAAUAAGGAAGAAUAUACAUGUUAAAGUUAUUUUAUAAGUGUAAUUGACAUAAAUAUGGUCAAAUAAAAAAAUAUCGGUAAACAGUUUACGAUACUUGGAUUUUAAGAAUAGAAAAUAUGAAAUUUGGAAUUUUACACUUAGAAAGUUAGAAUUGAGUUAAGAAAUAUUUGAUUUUAUUAAAUGAAAACAAUUUACACAUAAACAUAAUACAUAUGAUAUUGCAAUGGUCCUUAAUACCAAAAUGAAGAUCGAUGUGGUUCCAUCAUAUUGUUAUUGUUAAAUGAAGGGAGCCCAUCUUGUUGAAGACAAUAUUCAUACCAGGACAUGGAGUUUCGAUAGUAUUGAUUGUAUGUACGAACAUGCCAUGCAUAAAUUUCUUGAGUCCUACCGACAACCUGUCCAUGGAUGGGAAAUCCAGGGUUUUCCCAUGUGCUCGUUUGAAAUCCUUGUUGUUGCAGUUGAUGUGGAAGGUAGUAUGGCAUUUGUGUGGAAGAAGGAUAGUUAUACCUUUCAUACUCUUCAUCAGUGGAACUUGAAAGAUUUUGAGGAGGCUGACCAUAACUCAUUGCAUAAGGGACAUAAAUGUUGGCUUUGUUUGAUGAAUCACUGAAUUGAGUCUCUACACUCAUCGACUCAAAACUGGCCGACAAUGAGUCCUCGUUGUAUGGCAUCAUCCUUCGUUGUCUUCCUCUAUAUGGCUUUCCAAUGGCUCCAACACCUAGACCGACUCUUCUAGAGCCGUGGUCUUCAUCUUGAGUACAAUGUGUGAAAUCAUCUUCACAAGUAAAUGCCAAUGGUUUUCCACUUUGUUGUUGUUGUUGUCUAACAUCCCCUUCAUCAUUUCUAGGGUCGCUACCAUCAUUGGUCCCCUCUCCUCUUGAACCAUCAUAACCGAAAGCGGAAGUACCAGUAGCACUAGGUCUACUACUAUGUUCAACACUUGUGGAGUCAAAAGAAGGUCGAGAAGUGACUGACGGCUGAGAAAUUCCUUGUCGAAAUGAAUCUCUCAUGUCUUGGCUGAAACUAUCAGUAUGAACUUCUUCGGAUAACACUCGAUCAACGUCAACACCUGCUUCUCGGACAUGUGCGGCAAUUCAUGGGCCGGGAUUUCCAUCUUCAUCAUCUAAAUGAAGAGGUCUAACCCAUUGAAACAAUUGGUUAUCUUCUUCUUCACCAACCUCAGUUGCAAUGUCAAGUAAAUCGAGGUAAUCUUUCUCUGCAACUUUGUCAUGUUCUGCUUCCAUGUCACAUAUCUUUAGUUUCAUGUUAUAAUAACAGAAAACUAAUUGUUGGAGCAUUGGGUAAGCAAGCCGAUUUCUUUGUUUUGUAUGAAUUAAGGCAAACGUGCUCCAAUUUCUCUCACAAGCUGAAGAUGAUGCAGUUUGCGAUAAAACCUUGAUGGCCAACCUUCUUAAUGUAGGAGUGUGAUUUCCAUACAUGAACCACCAUUCAGCUACAACCAAAUAAAUGAUAUCAAUACUUAUACUGGAAAGCUACAAUAAUAUGCUAAUGAAAUGAAUUAUUAAUUCACAAAUAAUGCUCACCGGGAACCAUUUCUAACCUCGAAGCAAUCGCUGCUCGAUCACUGAAUCCUUUUUUUGCAUCUCGGAAUAGUAUAAUCUACAUAUUAAAUAAUUGAAAGUGAAAAAAUUGAGUAAAUGAAAUUCAAUUAUUUAAUUUAUAUUAUAACUCUAAUAAUUUACCUCAUUUCCAAAUUGACUAAGACCUUUUGAUGUAGGAUCUAAUUUUGCAAAGACUUCAUGAACAACUUGAAGUAGAUCAGGAUCAAUACCAACUCCACGUUUAUAUUGAAAUCUUGGAUUAAGAAAGAAUGCUACAAUAGUAAAGUAGAAAUGUAAAAUUAGAAUGUUAUGAAAGACACAUAUUAAAUACCAAUAAAUUUCGAAGAUGAAUAAUACUUACCUGCUGCAUGAAGAGGAUGUUUAAGAGUUCUAUCCCAACGAUCUGCAAUUAUUUCCAACACCCAUUCUUUAGCAUUAAGUCAAAUGAGGUUAUCUUUCAUAACUCGAAUCAAUUCAUACACAAAUGGCAUUGUAGGAACAACUUCUGAAUCGACAAUGCGAAGAAUUGUGUAUAGCGCCUCAUAUAUUGAUACUAGUUUUCCCACUCUUUCCUAGUUCGCAUGGUCAAACAUAAGUGAUUCAACUUCUUUGCUAAUUAAUGUGCGACUUAAGUUGUGUUGUGCCCAUUCAUCACUGAUAAACACUUUCUUCAAGUUUACUUUCUUUUUCAAAAGAUUGUCGAGGGCUAUAUAAUUGGUUGCAAAUCUUGUUGUUCCAGGACGAACUAUGUCUCCACCACACACCUUCCGCAUCUACACAAGCAACCAACUAUGGUUAUAAAUGAAGUUGGUUAUCUUUCGAGCCUUUGUAAUCACAUAUGCAACACUCGUCCUUUUACUGAUGUCUUCGAACAUUAAGUUGAUGCAAUGUGCUACACACAGAGUCCAAUAAAGAUUGUAUUUCUUCAUUAACAACUUCCCCGCCUUCACGAAUGCUGACCCAUUAUCUGUAACUAUUUGGACCACAUUUUGUUUGCCAACUUUCUUGAUCACAUCCUUUAACAAACCAUAUAUGUAUUUGUUGUCCUUUAUAUUAUUUGAUGCAUCAACAGAUUUGAGGAAGAUUAUGCUACCUUUUGAAUAUACCAUGAAAUUAAUUAUGCUUAAUUUCAUGGGCCUAGUCCAUCCGUCAGACAUAAUCGUGCAUCCAUAAGUCUUCCACUUUUCUCUUUGAAUAUUGACAUAAGCUUCCAUGUCUUUGUACUCCAUAUCCAAAUACUUGUGUUUGAUUUCAUAAGGAGACGGUGGUUCUAUACCCAUACCUACCAUCCAUAUAUAAUUAAAGCAUAUAAGAACAUUUGUGGUAAUCAUACUAUAUAAAUAGUAAUGAUAUUGUUAAAAUGAAUACAACUUUUAAAAUUAUAGUAAUUACCUGCAUAUUGUGCACCAACAAUCAUGUUCUUGAAGUGGUGAGAGUCUGUUUUACUGGGCGGAACACUCUCAUAUAUGAACUUACUGAUCAAACGUCCCAUGGUUUCCUUGAUGGCACCACAUUUGAAAAGAUUUUUCAUAUUUUUCUAUCUAGCUGCUGAAGAUUUGUACAAUGAGGGUGCAUCAGGCAGUGAUGGAUCUGAAUAUCGAACACUUUGCGAUUUUCACAUUUACCUUGUUGUUGGAUUGGUUGGAUGUGAAGACUCACCUAUUAUAAUUAUUAAAAUUAAACAUAUAUGUUAAUUUAAUAUUAUUGAUAAAGUUGAUAAGAAACAGUAAUAAUUCAAAUUAAUAUUAUACCUAUUUUUCUUUUGCCUUUUAUAAAAUGUUCUUCUUGUUGUCGAUUCCAUUCAGCAGCUUUUGAUGCUCGAACCGCCUCUCUAUAAGCAUGUCUCUCAUCAGGGCGCAUGUCAGCCGGAUACAUAUACACAUCAUCAUCUCCAUCAUCAUCAUCACCACCAAGGUUCUCCUCAUCGUCCUCAUCAAUUACAUGCCUAUGUCUUCUUCCCAUUGUGUCUCGCAGUUCAGAUCGAAUCUCUUCUAUAUCUGCAGCUUUCUUCGCUUUUGCCUUAUUUUUUUUCUCUAGAAGUCGUCUUAUUUCUUAUUUCACUUCUAGAGGCACGCUAGGACACUUUUUUGUAUUUGAAUUAGGGUCUGUAUGUGAUAGGUGAAAUUUAAAACGAGUAAUCCCACCACUCUUUAUUGCUAACCCACAGUAAUUGCAUAUUGUUCCAUUUUUGUUCCCUUCCAUAGGUGUACAAUAUUUCCAACAAGGAUCUCGACCCAUGAUACCGCUUUCACUAGCCAUUUUCUAAAAUUGAAUUAUGAAACUAAUAUCAAAUUUAAAAUUAUUAAAGAUAAAACAUGUAAGAAAUUUAAUAUUCAUGAAAUUGAUAAGAACUAAUAAAAAUUGAAAUUAAAAUUGAAUUAUGCAUAUAUGAAAUAGAUAAACAUUACAAUAAAAUUUCAAUAUGAAUUAAAUUAAAUUAAAUUUGCAUAUUCAUGAAAUUGAUGAGAAUCAUUACUGAUAAAAAUUAAAAUUAAAAUUGAAUUAUGCAUAUAUGAAAUAGAUAAACAUUACAAUAAAAUUUUGAUAAGAAUUAAAUUAAAUUAAAUUAAAUUUGCAUAUUCAUGAAAUUGAUAAGAAUCAUUACUAAAAAAAAUUAAAAUUAAAAUUGAAUUAUGCAUAUAUGAAAUAGAUAAACAUUACAACAAAAUUUUGACAAGAAUUAAAUUAAAUUUCCAUAUUCAUGAAAUUGAUAAGAAUUAAAUUAAAUUAAAUUAAAUUUGCAUAUUCAUGAAAUUGAUAAGAAUCAUUACUAAUAAAAAUUAAAAUUGAAUUAUGCAUAAUAAAAAUAAAUUUUAUGAAAGGUAAGACAUGCCUUAAUUAGCCUUGACUUGGAGUUAAUCCCCUUCAUCACCAAAUUUUCAAAAUAAAAAAAUUUUGCUAGGUCAUAUAAGAAUUUUGAUGUAUGAAAUGGAAUGGAAUGUGGGUACUUAUAGGAAUUUUUUUGUCAAACUAGCUGUUGGAUGGUCAAAUAGCCGUUAUAAAUUAAUUUUAAUCGUUGGCUCAAAAUUUGGUUCAAAUUUCACCAUUAGAUAUUCAUAUAACCGUUGGAAACACUCCAUAGCCCUUGGAUAAAGUGAAGAUUGAUUUUCCACCAUUGGAUCACAAAUAUAAUCGUUGGAGGCCUUUACAAAUACACGAGUGAAAUCUGGGCCAUCAGAUCCUCAAAAAUUCAAAUUUCGCCGUCAGAUCAAAGCUGUAAAAAAAUUGCCGAUUAUUUCAAAAAAUCGCCAAUAUAUCGGUAAAAUCGUCGAUUAAUCGCCGAUUUUUUAGGCUCCUCCUCCGGCUUCUCUGCGCGUGCCUCCACUCGCGAUUUUUUGCCGAUUUAUCAGUGCUUCACCGAUAUAUCGGCGAUUUUGCCGAUUUUUCCGUCGAUCGAUAAUCGGUGAUGAUUAUCGUUUCGGUGCCGCCUGAUAUCCGAUAUUUCCUGAUUUUUCAAUCCCUGAGCAUGAGAUCAAAAGAAUAACCAAACUAAUGACUUUUAAAAGAAACAAAACUAAGUAUAACAUCAACAAAGCAAUCAAAAUAAUUAUUUUUAAAAACUAAACUAAACAUUGUUUUAACGAAAAAAACCAAACUAAUAAUGUUUAAAAGAAACUAAACUAAGUAUAAUUUCAACAAAGCAAUAUAACUAUUAAUUUUUAUGCACUAAACUAAGCAUAGGAUCAAAAGAGUAAUCAAACUAAUGAUUUUUAAAAGAAACUAAACAAAGUAUAGCAUCAACAAAGCAACCAAACUAAUAAUGUUUUAAAAACUAAACUAAACAUUGUUUCAACAGAAUAACCAAACUAAUGAUGUUUAAAAGAAACUAAAGUAAGUAUAAUAUCAACAAAACAACCAAAUUAAUACUUUUUAUAAACUAAACUAAGCAUGAGAUCAAAAGAGUAACAAAACUAAUGAUUUAAAAAAAAACUAAACAAAGUAUAGCAUCAACAAAGCAACCAAACUAAUAUUUUUUUUUUAAACUAAACUAAACAUUGUUUCAACGGAAUAACCAAACUAAUUGAUGAGGACACAACUAGCAAAUGGAAUGCAAAUCCUAUUCAAGUUCCAGUUAGUUCGGUUACAAGGGCUCGAGCUAAAAAAGUUCAAGGAAACUCUCAAUGGACUGAUUCACAAUAUUUAAGCUAAGGUGAAUUCGUGGAGGCCCAAGAAAGAUGCUCUACAUGUUCCACAAGGUUGGAUUUUCACGAUUCAAGUUUUGGAAUAAUCUAGAUGAAUCCAUCAAGGAGAACAGAUCACAAAUUGCGUGGAUUGAAUAGAGUUUUCUAAAUUAGUGAUUACCCAAUUUUUGACUCAUCAAGGAGAUUGGCUGGCGCAAUCUAAAGCAAUUUUUAAGAUUGCUAAAUUACGUUUCUUAUUUAUUAUUAUAUUUUAAUUUUCAAAUUUUAUGGGGAAAUAAUAAAUUAGAAAUUCCCUUGUUUCUUUUUUACUUUGGGGUAGGCAUGAUUUUAGGAAAUAAUGGAUUCAAUUUUUAGAAUCCAACUCAAGAUAUUUUAGUUUCCCAUUUCUAGCUAUUUGCAAAAUCUAGGCAAAAUAUUUGGGGAUUUUCUAACUGCCAGAUUUGUGAACCUCUUUGUAUUUAAAUAACCAUCAACUUAUUGAAAAAUAAUACAGAUUUCAUUCAUAAUUUUGUGAGAGAAAAUUCUCUUUAGUUCUUUUAGAACUCUUUGAACUUAUCGGAAAGAUUUCUGUGGCGUUCUCCUUCGACUUAUCAAUCAAUCCUUUCAUAAUUGAUUGUGGCGUCUUCAUUAUACCAAGGUUCUUGAUUCCAUAUAGGCAAUGGAUCGCGGUUUCAUACAAAUCUGUUUCCAGACGAUCUUAGAGCCAUUCUUGAUCCACAAGUUUCUCAAUUUUGUGGUGUGGAUCAUAUCACUAUUAAUGUUUAAAAGAAACUAAACUAAGUAUAAUAUCAACAAAACAACCAAACUAAUAAUUUUUAUAAACUAAACUAAGUAUGAGAUCAAAAGAAUUACCAAACUAAUAUCAACAAAGCAACCAAACUAAUAAUUUUUAAAAACUAAACCAAACAUGAGAUCAACAUAAUAACUAAAUUAAUGUGUUUUAAAGGAAACUAAAUUGUGCAUUAUAUCAAAAAAGGAACCAAACCAAUAAUUUUCAAAACUAAACUAAUCUUGAGAUCAAAAGAAUAACCAAACUAAUUAUUUUAAAAAAAAACUAAACUAAGCAUAGUAUCAACGAAUCAAUGAUACUAAUAACUUUUAAGAACUAAAUUAAACAUGAGAUCAACGGACUAACUGAACUAAUGAUUUUUAAAAGAAACUAAAUUAAGUGUGAGAUUAACAAAGUAACCAAAUUGAUGAUUUUUAAAAGAAUUAUACCAAGCAUAACAUCAAUAAAACAACCAAACUAAUAAUUUUUUGAAAACUAAACUAAACAUAAGAUUAAUGGAAUAACCAAUGAUUUUUAAAAGACACUAAACUCAACAUAAUAUCAACAAAGGACCAAAACUAAUAUUUUUUAAAAACUAAAUUAAGCAUGAGAUAAAAAGAAUAGAAAAACUAAUGAUUUUUCAGAGAAACUAAACUAAGUAUAUCAACAAAACAAUUAAACCAAUAAUUUUUUAAAACUAAACUAAAUAUGAGAUUAAUAGAAUACUCAAACUAAUGAUUUUUAAGAGAAUUAAACCAAGCAUAACAUCAACAAAGCAACCAAACUAAUAAUUUUUAAAAAUUAAACUAAAUAUUAUUUCAACAGAAUAACCAAACUAAUUAUUUUGAAAAGAAACUAAACUAAGCAUGAUUUCAACAAGAAACCAAACUAAUAAUUUCUAAAAAUUAAACUCAGCACGAGAUUUAUAGAAUAACCAAACAAAUGAUAUAUAAAAGAAUUAAACCAAGUAUAAUAUCAAUAGAGCAACAAAACUAAUAAUUUUUUAAACCUCAACUAAAUAUGAGAUAAACUGAAAAACUAGACAAAACAUAAUGAUUUUUAAAGGAAACUAAACUAAGCAUAAUAUCAACGAACCAACCAUACUAAUAAUUUUUAAAAACUAGACUAAACAUGAGAUCAACAAAAUAACCAAACUAAUGAUUUUUUUUUAUUUAAAAAAAAAAACUAAACUAAGCAUAAUAUCAACAAAGAAACAAAACUAAAUUAAGCAUGAGAUUAAAAAAAAUAACCAUGCUAAUCAUUUUUAAAAUAAACUAAAUUAAGCACAAUAUCAACAAAGCACCCAAAUUAAUAAUUUUUUACAAACUAAACUAAACUAAACAUGAGAUUAAUGGAAUAACCACAUAACUAAUGAUUUUUAAAAGAAACUAAGCUAAGUAUAAUAUCAACAAAGCAACCAAACUAAUAAUUUUUAUAAACUAAACUAAGCAUGAGGUGAAAGGAAUAACCAAACUAAUGAUUUUUUUUUUUAAAAAAAAAACAAAAACUAAAGUAAGCAUAAUAUCAACAAAGAAACCAAAGUAAUAAUUUUUCAAAACUAAACUAAACAUGAGAUUAACUGACUUUUUAAAAGAAACUAAACUUAGUAUAAUAUCAUGAAAGUAAGCAAACUAAUAAUGCUUAAAAACUAAACUAAGUGUGAGAUUAAUUGAGUAAUCAAACUAAUGAUUUUUAAAAGAAUUAUACCAAGCAUAACCAAGGUUUAAAAUAUCGAUAAACACGGAUAUAUCGGUACUUGGAUUUUACGGAUAUAUUGAAAAUAUUGGAGAAAUAUCGAUGGAUAUUUUGAACAAAAUAUCAAUAGAAGAGAAAUAGUUCAAAAUUCAUGAAAAUGUUUAGAAAACUUUAAAAAAAUGAUAAAAUAAGUAAAAAUACAUAUAUUAAAGUUAUUUUGUAAGUGUAAUUAACAUAAAUACGAUUAUAGUUAAUAUUUAUCAAAUUUUUAUUAAAAAAAUUAGCUUAAAUUCCUUUAAUAUAUUUAUUUUCAUUUAUUUUAAAAAUUAAAAAUACUUUUAUUAAAACAUGUUUUAUUACAUUUUAAAUAAAAAUUUAAAUUGAUUUAUAUAAAAUAUUUUAUUUGAGAUUUAAUUUCUAAAAUUUUAUUAUAAAUAUGUGGUGACAACUUUUUUUAUUAACAUUAAUUUGUAUAAAUAAUUAAAAUUAUUAUUAAUUUAUCUUAUCAAAUUAAUUUUAAUUUAUAAAAUAUUCAGACUUCAUUAAUUUUUUUAUAUUGUAACAAUUUUUUAGUGAAAUUAUAUUUUUAAAAUAUAAAAUUAAAAGAAUAAAAAAAAAAUUAAAAGUGAGGUGAUAAUAAUUUUUUAAAAUAGGAUUAAUGAGAUAAAUAUGAAAAGUAGUUAAAAAUAAAAGGAUAAUAUAAAAUAAAAUAAUUAAUUAAAAAAUAUAAAUAAUUUAAAAAAAAUUCAAACAAUCAGCGAUUUUUUGUGCUUUCCCUGCUUGUCAUCGCAUGUCACCCCCACGCUCGGUUUUUUUCGUCGAUAUAUUGCUUUUAAACCGAUUUUUAAAAGAAACUAAACAAAACAUAAUAUGAACAAAACAACCAAACUAAUAAUUUUUUAGAAACUAAACUAAAUGUGAGAUCAACAAAAUAACAAAACUAAUGAUUUUUAAUAUAAUUAAACUAAGCAAAAUAUCAACAAAGCAGCCAAACUAAUAGUUUUCAAAAACUAAACCAAACAUGAGAUCAACAAAAUAACCCAACUAAUGAUUUUUAAUAGAGAUUAAACAAAUAAUCUAACCAAUGAUUUUUAAGAUAAUUAAACCAAACAAAUUGACAGAGCAACCAAACUAAUAAUUUUUCAAAACUAAACUAAAUGAGAUGAAUUGAAUAACUAAACUAAUGUCACAUUAAAGAAACUAAACUAAGCAUAAUAUCAGCAAAGUAACCAAACUAAUAAUUCUUAAAACCAAAACUAAAAACGAGAUUAACUAAUUAACUAAACUAAACUAAUGAUUUUAAAAAAAAAAUUGAACAAACCAUGACAUCAACAAAGCAACCAAACUAAUAAUUUUUAAAAACUAAACAAAACAUGAUAUCAACAUAAUAACUAAACUAAUGUAUUCUAAAGAAAACAAAAUUGUGCAUUAUAUCAAUAGAGCAACAAAACUUAUAAUUUUUCAAAACUAAACUAAGCAUAAGAUCAAAAGGAUAACUAAACUAAUGAUUUUUAAAAGAAACUAAACGAAGCAUAGUAUCGGCAAAUAAACCAUACUAAUAACUUUUAAAAAUUAAACUAAAUAUGAGAUCAACGGACUAACCGAACUAAUGAUUUUUAAAAGAAACUAAACUAAGCAUUGUAUCAACUAAACAAUCAAACUAAUAAUUUUUAUAAACUAAAUUAAGCAUGGGAUCAAUAGAAUAACCAAACUAAUAAUCUUUUUAAAAGUAAACUAAACAAGAUAUCAACGCACUAACCGAACUACUAAUUUUUAAAAGAAAAUAAACUUAGCAUAAUAUCAUGAAAGCAAGAAAACGAAUAAUGUUUAAAAACUAAACUAAGUGUGAGAUUAAUAGAGUAACCAAACUAAUGGUUCUUAAAAGAAUUAUACCAAGCACAACAUCAACAAACCAACCAAACUAAUAAUUUUUUAAAAAGUAAACUAAACAUGAGAUCAAAAAAUUAACCAAACUAAUGAUUUUUAAAAGAAACUAAACUAAGCAUUGUAUCAACAAAACAAUCAAACUAAUAAUUUUUAUAAACUAAAUUAAGCAUGAGAUCAAUAGAAUAGUCAAACUAAUGAUCUUUUUAAAACUAAACUAAACAAGAUAUCAACGGACUAACCGAACUACUGAUUUUUAAAAGAAACUAAACUUAGUAUAAUAUCAUGAAAGCAAACAAACUAAUCAUGUUUAAAAACUAAACUAAGUGUGAGAUAAACAUAGUAACCAAACUAAUAAUUUUUAUUUUUUAUUUUAAAAACCAACUAAACUAAGCAGAAUAUCAAUAGAGCAACCAAACUAAUCAUUUUUCAAAACUAAACUAAGCAAGAGGUCUAAAGAAUAACCAAACUAAUGAUUUUUAUAAGAAAGUAACUAAGCAUAAUAUCAACAAAGCAAUAAAACUCAUAAUUUUUUAACAUAACUAAUGAUUCCUAACAUAACUAAUGUGUUUUAAAAGAAAACUAAAUUGUGCAUUAUAUCAACAAAGCAACCAAACUAAUAAUUUUUCAAAACUAAACUAAGCUGAGAUUAAAAGAAUAACCAAACUAAUGAUUUUUAAAAGAACCUAAACUCAACAUAAUAUCAACAAAGCAACAAAACUAAUAAUUUAUAAAUACUAAAUUAAGCAUGAUAUAAAAAGAAUUGCCAAACUAAUGAUUUUUCAAAGGAACUAAACUAAGCAUAAUAUUAACAAAGCAACUAAACGAAUAAUUUUUUUAAAACCAAACUAAACAUGAGAUUAACAGAAUAACCAAACAAAUAAUUUUUAAUAAAAUUAAACCAGACAUAACAUCAACAAAGCAACCAAACUAAUAAUUUUUAAAAACUAAACUAAGCAUGGGAUCAAAAUAAUAACCAAACUAAUGAUUUUUAAAAGAAACUAAACUAAACAUAGUAUCAACAAAUAAACCAUACUAAUAACUUUUAAAAACUAAACUAAACAUGAGAUUAACAGACUAAUUGAACUAAUGAUUUUUAAAAGAAACUAAACUUAGUAUAAAUAAUAUCAUGAAAGCAAACAAACUAAUAAUGUUUAAAACUAAACUAAGUGUGAGAUUAAUAGAGUAACCAAACUAAUGAUUUUUAAAAGAAUUGUACCAAGCUUAACAUCAACAAAGCGACCAAACUAAUAAUUUUUUAAAAAUUAAACUAAACAUUAGAUUAAUGGAAUAACCAAACUAAAGAUUUUUAAUAGAAUUAAACCAAACAUAUAAUAUCAAUAGAGCAACCAAACUAAUAAUUUUUUAAACCUAAACUAAUUAUGAGAUCAAUUGAAUAACUAAACUAAUAAUUUUUAAAAGAAAAUAAACUAAGCAUAAUAUUAACAAAGUAAUUAAACUAAUAAUUUUUUAAAACUAGACCAAACAUGAAAUCAACAGAACAACCAAACUAAUGAUUUUUUUUUUUUUUAAACAAACUAAACUAAGCAUUAGAUCAAAAGAACCAAACUAAUGAUUUUUAAAAGAAACUAAACUAAGCAUAGUAUCAACAAAGAAACCAAACUAAUAGUUUUUUUUUUCAAAUAAAUUAAACAUGAGAUCAAUGGACUAACCAAACUAAUAAUUUUUAAAAAGUAAACUAAACAUGAUAUCAACAAAAUAACCAACCUAAUGAUUUUUAAAACAAACUAAACUAAAAGUGAUAUCCACAAAGGAACCAAACUGAUAAUGUUUAAAAACUAAACUAAGCAUGAGAUCAAAAGAAUAAUCAAACAAAUGAUUUUUAAAAGAAUUAAACUAAAAUGAUAUCAAUAAAGCAACCAAAUUAAUAAAUUUUUAAAAACUAAAUUAAACAUGAGAUUAAUAGAAUAACCAAACUAAUGGUUUUUAAAAGAAACAAAGCUAAACAUAAUAUCAACAAAGCAACCAAACUAAUAAUUUUUAAAAAUUAAAUUAAACAUGAGAUCAAUAGAAUAACCAAACUACUAAUUUUAAAAAGAAACUAAACUAAGUAUAAUAUUAACCAAGCAACCAAAAUAAAAAAUAUUUAAAACUAAACUAAGCACAACAUUAAUAGAAUAACCAAACUAAUGGCUUUUAAAAGAAUGAAACCAAGCAUAAUAUCAAUAGAGAAACCCAACUAAAUAUGAGAUCAAAUUAAUAACUAAACUAAUGAUUUUUAAAAGAAUUUAAACUAAGCAUAAUAUCAACAAAGCAACCAAACUAAUAAUUUUUCAAAAUUAAACUAAACAUGAGAUCUAAAGAAUAACUAAACUAUUUUGAAAAAAAGAAAGUAAACUAAACAUAGUAUCAACAAAGGAACAAAACUAAUAAUUUUUUUAAAACUAAACAUAACAUGAUAUUAAUGGAAUAACCACAUAACUAAUGAUUUUUAAAAGAAAUUAAACUAAGUAUAAUAUCAAUAAAGCAACUAAACUAAUAAUUUUUAUAAACUAAAUUAAGCAUGAGAUCAAAAGAAUAACCAAACGAAUGAUUUUUAAAAGAAACUAAACAAAGCAUAAUAUAAACAAAACAACCAAAUUAAUAAUUUUUAAAAAACUAAACUAAGCAUGAGAUUAACAGAAUAACCAAAGUAAUGAUUUUUAAUAGGAUUAAACCAAACAGAACAUCAACAAAGCAACCAAAGCAAUGAUUUUCAAAAACUAAACUAAAUAUGAGAUCAAUAGAAUAACCAAACCAAUGAUUUUGAAAGGAAACUAAACUAAGCAUGAUUUCAAUAAAGAAACAACUCUAAUAAUUUUUAAAAAUUAAACUAAGCAUGAGAUUAACAAAGUAACCAAAUCAAUGAUUUUUAAAAGAAUCCUACCAAGCAUAAUAUCAACAAAAGAACCAAACUAAUAAUUUUUGAAAACUAAACUAAAUAUGAGAUUAACUAAAUAACAAAACUAAUGAUUUUUAAAAGAAACUAAACUAAGCAUAAUAUCUACAAAGCAACCAAUCUAAUAAUUUUUAAAAACUAAACUAAACAUGAAAUCAAUGGAAUAACCAAACUGAUUAUUUUUAAUAGAAACUAAACUAAAGGUGAUAUCCACAAAGCAACCAAACUAAUAAUAUUUAAAAACUAAACUAAGUACGAGAUUAACAAAAUAAUCAAACUAAUGAUUUUCUAUAUAAUUAAACCAAGCAUAAUAUCAACAAAACAACCAAAUUAAUAAUUUUAAAAAAACUAAUUCAAACACGAGAUUAAUGGAAUAACCAUAUAACUAAUGAUUUUUAAAAGAAACUAAACUAAGUAUAAUAUCAACAAAGGAACCAAACUAAUAAUUUUUAUGAACUAAACUAAGCCUGAGAUAAAAGAAUAACCAAACUAAUGAUUUUUAAAUGAUACUAAAAAAUAAACCCUCCUUAUAACUGGUAAUGACUUCCUUCAAUAAAAAAGAAAUAAUAAAAUUGUCAUGAUUAGUUAUUUGUUCUUAACAAAUAAACCAAACUAUAUUAUGCAAACUCACAAACCUUAUCAGUACAUGAGAGAGCCUCACAGUCUUGGCAACAAAUUAGAAAAAGGAAAGAAAAAACAACUCAUUAAUUAACAUUUUUGUAGGUAUAAGAAAAACCGCAAAGUAGAUUAUGUAUUCAGUUAACAACAUUAAAAGAUUCAAGUACUAAACUAAAAUUCUGUAAAUAUGAGAAAAAUAAUGAAGAACACCUUCGAGCAUUAUUAACAUAUUCACGGCCCUGAUCCUUGGUCAUUUGGUUAUUAGAAGAGGCCUUCAAUUUUUUUGCACUUGCUAUUCUCCAUAAUAAGGAGCAUAUAAUACACCAUUUAAUCAUAAUUUUUUUUUUUGAAAAAUAGCAAAGUACCUCUCUUUGAAGUAUUACAAACACCAACACCUUGACUUAUAUUUGUUCCUAUUUUACCCUAUUAAACAACAAGAAAAUUGUUAGUACUUCAUGGCUGCGAGCAAAGGAUAAAAAAGGAUGAGAAUAGAGGAUGCAAAUAUUUUGCCCUAACACUACUUUGGCAUUAUGCUGAACACAUAAUAGGGUGCAAGCAAUAUCAGAGAGAGAAAGAAGGGGGGGGGGGAGGAGGAUGUUAUGUUGUUGCAUGCUCAAAUUUAUGUCCCCUUAAGUUACCUUUGCUCAAGCUUUGAGAGAUAAAUGAAUUACCCAAACCACCUUGGGAUUGUUAAUCAAUUGCUCUUUGUUAGUGAAGCUUCACCCUUUCCAAUUGAGUAAUUGUUGUAUUUUCCUUUAGCAGAUUUCUGCCUCUUUUACUUAUUCCAAUGCAUGUUUCUCCCCUUACUAAACACCAAUUCCUUCUUUCUUAUUACAAACAUCGAUAGUUUGUGCUACAAACCUAGUCUAGUGCUUACAGGAAUUAUUCCGCUUGCCUUUGUCCUUCUAGAAACCCUUCAGAUUCCCCUUUAUAUCAAAAGGAAAAUAAAACGAAUAAAGACUUCUAAAGCAUCCAACCACCAAAAUCAACAAAUGUGAAGAGGAGCAAUUGAAAUAACUUUUGAAUCACUUGAAUUGCUCUAAGCAGUCCCUUUGUUGAACUGCACAGAUUUCCUCAUGCAGAUAAAGGUUAAAAAAACACAAGUUAACAAAAAGGCUUUCUCUUCCAAGCAAAAUAGCCAUAAUAGGGAUACCUAAGGGAGACUUUUGUUCUCUUGGGUACUAGAAAAUUUCAAACCUAAGAUUCAAGAAUUCUAACCUCCAUUCUUCACCUACAUUAUCUUAGAACCCAAUUAAAUAGGCUCUGGAAAUUGUCAGUCAUAAAUGGUUGCUAAUUGGGAAUUAGAGCCCAAGAAUAGCAGAAUCUCCACUGGACUGAGCUUUACAAAACCAAUUAGGUAAAUUAAGGUGGGUUUUUUUUCUUUUGUUUUUCCAAUUUUCAGUGAACAAAAACAUAAAACACGAGACUCAAAUUUUCAUUUUCCUUUUCAUUUCCUCUAUUUUGUCUGAAAUCUAUACAUUACUAAUUCAAAAGUUGGUAAAAUCACACACCUUGUUGGGAUUAGGGUCUCUCUCAUGGUUCUACUAAAAAAUUAAAAACAUAACAUUGAAUUCUGAGAUAGCCAUCAACAAAAAGUUAUUGUUGAAAGCCAAAUGAUAAACAUCAAACCAGUACCAACAGAAUCACGGGAACCAACAUUAACUCUCUCAUUCUCAUAAUAAACCUUGAAACUUAAGCCAACUGUUUCAGAAACAGAGCAUCCAAUUAAUACAUGAGAAUAUAAAAUUUCUCAUUAUAGAAACAAUGUAAAAUGUACCACUCUUUAGAUUUUUUUGAUUUGCAACUCGACUCGAAGCUGCAUUCAAUUUUCCCUACAUUUAUGGAGACGAAAAGUUUGAUCAUGAUUCAAAACAGAGGAAAAGAAAAGGAGUUAGAUAAGAAUAAGAGCUUAUAUGUACCUUGACAACCACCAUUUUGUUUUUUUACACUUUAUUUUUCAGAAUCUUCUGAUGAUCCAAUACCCUAAGAAGCAAAAGCAACAUCCAAAGUUCAGGUAGUCAAUUUCUAUCUUUCCUUGUUUUUUCUGGGCAACCAAACAAAAAUUAAGGUUCCUGGGAAAUCGUGACAAAAAUUCUUCCUCUUAACUAAACAGUUUCCGUUACUGACCUACUGGGUUAGCGAUCCUAGUUGCAGAACAGUUUCCAAAUAUGAUCUUCUUUAUUGCUGAGAAAUCAAAGGAAGGAAAAGAAAAAAAAGAAAAAAAAAAGCAGGAAUCUUGGAAACACCCAUUUGAAAGGCGAGAAUAUACUUGCAAGUUUGUAAUUUCCUAGAAACUUAAGGACAAGAAAAUAUAGAUUUUCUUGGCAACCAAACGGAAAAAAUAAAAGUUAAAAAGAGUGCAGAAAAAAAGGAUAACAAGAAUGGCGAUCUCUUGUAGACAAGAUGAAUGUGAAGAAUGGUGAGCGCUGAUUUGAAAUGGUAGAAAAAUCUCCUGUGAUGUUCGCAGAAACCAGAAAAGAAUAAUGAUGCAGGUGUAAUCUUUUGUUCCCUCAGAAAAAUGGAUAUCCAAAGGAAAAUGGCGAUUCCAUCCUCAAAUAUGAAGAUCCUGAAGCUCCAAAGAUGGGUGUCUGAUGAUCCUUACUCACUGUCGGUGGACUGCAAUGGUUGUGAUGAAUAUUAGUCUCCGAUGACAAUGAACUCUAAUGGCGGUGAUGACUCUCUAUAAAAGAACCAGCGAGCUUCAACGGCGGUGAACUACUCUGGCAGUGAUGAACUCCAAAGAUGAACCAGCAAGCUUCAACAGUGGUGAAAUACUCCGGCAGCUAUGAACUUGUCUUUUUCAAUGAGAAUUUGCACUCCUCCAAAAAACACCCAAAAAGUGACUCCCUAUGUAGGUGAUGAACUCUCCUACUCCAAAAAAUGCCCAAAAAGAGACUCUUUAUGUCAGUGAUGAAGUCUUAUUUCCAAGAAUGCCAAAAAGAGCAUCUCCGUCGGUGAUGAAGUCUCUGUUUUUUCAACCUCAAAAGUCUCUGGAACUAAAACUGUUACUCCAUUCCCGGUGUGGUGUGCAUGCUCCCUCAACAGAAAGAUUCCUUUUCCGAAGACUUUCCCAAAAACGGCCUCCUGAAUGCUUGGCAGUAGCUUCCUUGCAUGGCCUGUGGUGAUGCUCCCUCACGUGAGACUCUUCCCGAAACCAUCAUGAGGUCAUGUCCCGGAAGAAAAUGGAUCAUUUUCAAAAGUCUCAUCGUCAUGCCGAAUGCAUGUCUUCAUCUCACCCGGAGCACAUGUGUGAUAGGCAUCCAGAAUGCACGUGCCUCUAACCUUCUAGAAUCUUCUGGAUCCCAUGCAUGGAGGUCAAAAUUGCAGUAGAUUUUCCAUCAUGAGUGAAAGAAAUGCCCUUCUAUGCAUGCCUUGGCCAUUACACACGUAUUCAUCCUUAUCUCAUCCAAGCACCAGAAUAAUUGCAAAAAGUUUGGGCUUGUUCUUGGUGUUUUUAAAAAUUGUUUUCAAAAUAGAGAACAAAAAUAGUUUUUUUAGAAUUUUUAAAAAACUAGAGUGUUUGACAUGAUGUUUUAAAACAAAAAACAAGAAGUUUGUUUGAAUGAAGGAAUUUGUAUUGUUUUUAAAAACAAUGUAUUAUUUUUAUUUUACAAAAAAUUUUAUAAAAUUAAAAUCUAAUAAUAUGAAAUCAAAUUCAAGUUAAGUCUUAUUAAAAAAUAAGUAUUAAUUUCACAAUUAUAUAUAAGUUAAUGAAACAAUUUUUUUAUUGUAGUGAAACAAAAAUUUCUAUAAGAUAAAAACAAUUUUAAUAUUCAUUUUUAAUACAAGUCAAUUAAGUACUUUAAUUAAUUUAAAAAAAAAUUAUUUGAUCAUGAUUUCUUAUGUUUUUUUUAGAAACAUUUUUAAUAUUAAAGAAUCAAAAAAAGUUUUUUAAUGUUUUAUAAAAUUAAGGAUAUUUGAUAAGUUAUUAUUAUAAAAUGAUUUUAAAAAUAAAAAACAAAAGGACUUGUUUGGAUAAAUUAUUAUUAUUUAAAAAAAAAUAUUUUGAUUUUGUAAAAACAUUUUAAAUUCAAUUUAUAUAAUAUUAAUUAAUUAAAUUUAAUUGAAGUCUUAUUGAAAAUGAAAAUAAUUUUUAAUUAAAAAUAUAUAGUUUUUAGUAAAACAUAAAUAGUAAUAUUAUAAUAAAAUCAUAAAUUAUAUUUUUAGUAGAAAAUAUACUAUUUUAUUACAUGUAAGAAAAAAGAUAUUUUAUUAUAUUAACAAAUUUAUGGUAUUAACAAGUUUAUUAUUUUAAGUUUUAAAUUAUUUUUAAAAAUUAAUAGAAAUUGAAAAAUAAUAAUUCUAUGUAGAAAAGAAAUAAUAGAGUAUAUGUGCCCUAGGGUUUGUUGUCUACCUUCAUUUUCUUUUUCCUUUUUCCCAAAAUCUCUUUGAUUUUUUUUUUGUGGAAAUUUGGUUACUAAGAAAUUUUAAGAAAAAAAAAAAAGAAGAAAAGAAAAUGGAAUUUUUGCAUUAGCAUGUGGUUGGAUAAAUAUUUUCAAUAUUUUGGUUUAUUUUUCCAACUAUCUAUCAAAUAGUAAUCUGAGUGAUAUAUUUCCUUGGAACUCAUGUGUAUGAGGAGAUUAUAUCCUUUAUUUGGUCGUCGAGAAAAGGAGGAGAUCUAUUGCAUUGCAUUAUGGAUGAAUAGUGCUACUAUAUAAUAGAUAUAUAUAUAUAGUUCACAUAUCAUGUAUAAACAGAUGCCAUUGCUAUCAAUCAAUUUUUAUUUUUUUUAGGAAGAUCUAUUAAAUCUCUUGGCUCUUUACUUGCCCUUUGAGGACUCCUUUAAUCUAUUAUCUCUUUAUUCAAUUAUCCUUUGUUUGGGUCCCAGGAAAACUUAGAAAAUGAAAGCAAAGUCCCAAUCCUUUUCACUACUAUUUGGCACAAUAGGAAACUAAAAGCCUUUUCAUUUCACAUAGGUCUGAAUUGAUGAAUGUCAUAGAAUUGGAGGUAGGGAAAGACAACCAACAUCAAUACCAUCUCCAACAUAUAUAUAUAUUCUUCACUGUGCAUAUGCACCUGUACAGAGAAAAUGCAUCGUGAAUGAAAUUUCUUAUCUUAUAAUUUUCGAAAUCACAAUAUUUCCCAUUAAAUAAUUAACUACUAGAUGUAAGAGGUGAAUAAUGUCAUCCAAAUGAUUCUAUGUUAUUAUGUUUAAUAAAAAAUCUAACCACAUUACAUAUUGGUUUGCUCAUUGCUUUAUUGAUUUACAAUUAAGAGAUUCCAAAGUUGGAUUUAUAUCAAGGUUUAUCCUCCGCAUUGAAUGUUAUUUUUAUUUUUAUUUUUCUUAUGUUCUGUAUGUUAAAUGUUGGAAAUUGGUGGUAUCUGCUGCUUAAAUUAAAGAAUAGAAAUACAAUUCUUUGAUGAGCCCUGAACGGUGCCAACACAGACACCUGAUGUCGAAAACAUUCUUCAUUUUUUUAAUUUAUUUUUAAUUGUUUUUACAUGAUAUCAAAUAUAUUAUUAUAGAUAAUUUAUAACAAUAAUCUAAAAUUAUUUAGAUUAUUGUUAUAAUUUUUUAGAAUUAACUUAGUUUUUAUCAUGAUAUAAGGUAACUUUGUAUGAUGUUUGAAAAUUAAUUUAAAAUUUAAAAAUUUUAAUAUCCAGUAAUGAUUUGAAGCAAAUUUUGUUUGUCAUUCUUAAAGAAUUUUAAAGGUCAUUUACGUGAAUUUUGUGAUUUUUUUUAUCAAAAAUUUAAGUUAAAUAUGAAAUAAAAUAAUUUAAAUUAAAUUUAGAAGUUUUCUUAUAAAAUAAAAAUCUAUAGUUUCACAAUAAAUGAUCUCUUUUAAAUAAAAUAAUACAUAAAUGUAUAAAAAAAAAUGAUAUAAAUAAUUCUUAUUAUAAUUAUCUUAAAUAAAUAUAAAGAUUUUAUCUCACUAUUUUAAAUGGAAAAAACUUAUGAAUUUUUUUUUUACUAUAUUCAAUAAGAUAAUUUAAAUUAAAUUUGAGAAUUUUCUAUAUAAUUUUUUAUUAUAAAUUAUCUCCUUUAAAUAUUUUUUCUUUUAAAUAAAAUAAUAUAUAAAUGUAUAAAUGUAUAAAAAAAAUAUGAUAUAAAUAACUAUUAUAUAUAUAUAUAUAUAUAUCACAAUAUGAGAUUAUUUAAAUUAUUUUUUUAUUUUUUAGAAUUAGCUUAGUUUUUAAUUUAAUUUUUAUUCUAAUAAUAUAUAUUAAUUAAUAAUUUACUAAGGUAAAAUGUUUGAAAAUUAUUUUUAAUUGUUAAUUUUUAAUAAGUGGUAAUGAUUUGGAUAUGUUUUUCAAUUAAUGUAAUUUUCAUUUUUAUCAUAUAUGUAUACUCAAUAAUUUAUUAAGAUAGGUUUGUACCAUAUCAAUAAUAAUUUAAUGUUUGAAAUUAAUUUUAACGUACUAAUGAUUUGUAUCAAAUUUCCUUAUCAUUCCUAAACAAUUUUAAAAGUCAUAUAGGUCAAUGAGAUCAUUUAAAUUCAAUUUGAAAGUUUUCUAUGUAUAUGUAUUUUUUAUUUUUUACCCUUGAUAAAUUAUAGUCAUCAAAUAAUUUUAAAUAUUUUAAAAUUAACUAAAAUAAUAUAAAUAACUUUUUAUCAUAAUUAUAUUUCUAACUUAUGCUCUUUUUUAGGUAAUACUAAAAAUAUAUUUGUGGACCCCGCAUUUCUGCUCAAUGCGUUUCCCACUCGAUGGCGAGCUCGGUUUAUUAUUUUAUUUGAAAAAUUGAUUUUUAUUGAUUAGAAAAAUGACUUGGAGUCGCCACUUAUUUUUGUUUUAUUUUUAAAGGGUAAACAAAAUAAGAAAGAAAAACCCUAAGUGUGACUCCUUAUUUUGGAAAAGGGGGUCUGUGAAAACCGGAUCGGGUUCGGGGGUCAGGUUACUUAUCGGGAAGGUACGGUAAAGACCGUAGCACCCCUCUAAGUCCCUAAGUCGGGUCUCUACUGAUAGAAUGAAGCUGACAUGGCAAUUGAUGUGUAAAUCAGAAAAUACCCAGAAUGAUUAUGCACGUAUGAAAAUCAAAACACCCAAUGAAGAAUGAUCAAAGUGAGAGCGGGGCGUACCUUAGCAUCAAACGAUCAAUGCGCUAUCACAAAAAAUCGGGUCAGUGUACAAUAAAGAGCAUAAACAUAGCUCACAUGUCGCUAAAUCGAGCACAAAAGUCAUCACGUCACAAUUCAUUCAAAUUGAUUUUUAUUUUAAAGAAAAUUCUUUGAUGUAGGGCCCCCACCAAAGCCCAUUUUAUUUUUGAGUGAAUUAAUUUCGUAAAUUCUAUAAUUAAGAAUUACGAAAAUAAAUUCACACUUAUUUUAAAACAUUUUGAAAAUCAUAGAAAAUUCAAAAGUGGCUCGCCGAAGAGAGAAUGGCGGCCAAAUUUUAUGGAAAAUGAGAUUUUGGAACUUAACAAGCCUAAAGAAGAAAAUUGCAAAGAUUCGAAAUUAUUUGAAAGCCAAGAUUUGGAAAACUGCUUUAAAUUUGGAUCUUGGGAGAUCAUUUUUUUAAACCAAUGAUGCGGGGAAAGAGCAAUGACAAAUGAUCAAAAAAAUUGCAUGCCAAAGGUGGCCAUGCAUAAUGAGGUUCUGCACGCAGACCGGAUGCGCCAUUAAUACAACUCUGUGGUGUGGGAGAUUGCAUCUGUCGCUCUCUUGAGAUUAGAAUGGGUAGGCACCCUGACCUGCUAUGACUUUUUAAAAUUCAUUCCCAGCUUCUGAGCCAUUAAAAUCUGAGACAGGCCCCUCAUCUUUGUCUUCCAAAACAAUACUAUCAAGGUAGUCCCUGGGUGCAUUGCCAUCCCAUAUAUGAAUUCCCUUUUCCUGUAGGACCGUUGCAUUUGUUGUGCCACUGAUGAACCAUAACAGUUCUUCAACGAUCCACCACCAAAAAUACUUUCUUAGUUGUAAGAGACGGAAAAACUUUUCAUAGAUUAAACCGCAUCUGACAACCAGACUUUGAUAAAGUACCAGUCCUUGUCUUAUCAUCCCUUUGAACAUUAUUUGAGAUGAUAGCUUCAACCAAUCUCAGAUAAACGUAUUUUUCAUGCCUCUCAAAGAUCAUCUUGUGCAAGAAAGAGAACUUCUUUACUUCAAAUUUAAUGGAUUCCUACCCACUGCUGAAAUUUCAGAUCUUCACUCAUGUUAGUACUUGGGGAUAUAAUCACAACUGUAUAACUAUGUGCUCAAUCCUCGGGAGAGUCUGACCAUAAAUGACUGGACCCACUUAUCAUCAAAGUUUCAACUGCUUGUUUGGAGAAUGAAAUCAGUUUGAUAGAAGGAUUUCCACUGCAACUGUACCUUGAACUCGUUUGAAAGAUUGUACUAGUGAUUCUAGCAGCACCCCCUCUUCAAUUUCAACUGGAGCGCUUCUGUAUAACUCAAGCCUCUUUGCCAGGGCAGUGCGUCUUGCCAUGACUACUGGAUCCUCGUUCAAGAACUCCCAUUUUAAGACGAUCAUGCUCAUUUAAAAUAUCCAAAGUUUCAAUAAAGUCAACACCUUUGUCUCAUUUUGAAUUCCCAAAACAACCAGUGGGAUUGCUACAGCUGGACCAUUUCCCCCUCUGGCCGACGUGGCUGUUAAAGAAAAAGGUGGUAUGGGAGCUUGAUUCUGCUGGUGCCAUUAUCAGCUUUCUCACUACCUUUAUCCUUUCAUCCGAAGCAAAGUUCUGCCCUACAAAGUCAAACUCUUUGGGCAUCAUUAUUUCUUGUUGUAAGAACAUCAUCAGGUGUAUCAACACUCACCAUAACCUUGAGAUGUCGUAUCUGAUCAGCCUAAAACAUGAAGGUCUCCAAAUCACCAUUCAGAGCCAAUGGGACAAGGGCCUGUUUUCCCAAGAUCAUUUUACCUGUAGACCCAUUGAGUGAAAUCCAGUCAUCUUCUUUGAUCACUUUGUUUCCAACUAUAAUUACCUUCUCAAUGUCAUUUACACAGAUUUCAGAGCAGCCAGAAACAUAACAUUUUCCCCAUUCACAGGCUAUAACAGCUGCGUGAGAUAUCAUGCCACCCCUGGCUGUCAGGAUCCCUACAACAGCAUGAAGAAGACAUCCUUGCUAUCAUUUCUCAUCGUUGACCAUCCUUCAUCAGUAAACCCAUUAAGAGCCUCAUUAAAAACCUCUGCUCAGCUGUUUCACCAUAUUCAUCAUUUUCGAGAAAUGUAGUUACAGCAGCUGCUUCAACCUCUUUGUGCUUAUUGUUUUCUUUCACAUCCAAAUGGCUUAUGCGAGCCACCAAGUCUUAACAUGAUGUCAGAAUCAAUGGUAGGUUCCAGCUUUUGAACGCAAUCAAAUUUUCUACAUGAGUUUGAAGAUGGCUCAACGCUGUUAAAAGGUGGAUCAUGUUGGUCACCUCCUGACCCAGACAAAACCCGUCGACCAGUAGUGGCAGAGCUCCCCUUAUUGUCUGAGGGACUUGAUGAACGCCCUAGCCCAAAAAACAAUGAAGAACCAACUUGCUGACCUCUGGUGCCAUCAAUCAAACUCCACUUCUGUUUGACCCCCUUUUAUGCAGUCAAGACAUGAAUCGAAGAACCGGGGAAAUCAAGUGGCAGGAUAGUAUUCACGCAAUAGUUGGUUCUGGCUCCUCCAAUUCUCUCUCAAAAAAAGUGUCAUGACCUUCCACAUCUAGUCUCCUUCAAAUAUUUGUCAAUAAAGUGCAGCAGGUGCUUGACAGUAAGAGGAAUGGCGACAAUGACGGUGUAGAUAGCUGCCACCGCCCAUGUUGGAAUGCACUCCAACGGCGUCUCUUCUUUUUGGAAACCAAUAGCGCGCUGCCAUCUAUCAGCGCUGGGAUUAUUCUGCUGCCCUCACUAAGAUAUCUUCUUCUAGUUGAGGGGAGACUGCCAGGUAUGGAGGGUGCCCAGGCUGGGAACCAGUCAAAACUGACCACGUAUGCACCAAAGUAGCCAAGCGCUGUGAACGCCAAGCACGUGGGAGAUGGAAUUAAAGGGUAAGGGAUGAAUGAUGGGCUGUAAAGGUUAUGGGUGGAAUAGUGGUAAAAUGUAGGGAUAUAACGGGUAUGAGGGGUAUGGACUUAGAGAGAGAAGUGACUUUUAGUGGUAUGAAGGAAAGGACAUGGACAGUAAGGAUGAGGAGUCGGUGGGAUUGCAUGGUGUAUUACUGAAUCGCAAUAUGGAUGAGGAGUGUGCGUGGCAUAAGGUGGAGUAGCCUUGGUAGUAGAGACAAUGGUGUGGGAUAGGUCAAUAUAGGUACAGGCAGUGGGCGUGAUGGUACACGAGGUUCUCUCUGAAAUCCACUUGAAUUUGCCUGCGAAUAAUCAGGAACUGGAGAGGAUGACCUUGGCCCAAAAUUUUUAACAGUGCACAUGCAUUUUCUGUCUUUUCCAGUGGAUAUCGGGUCCUGAGCUUUUGACCACCUACCCCCCCUCCUUUGAAAGUUGUUGGACUGAUGCAGAUCCUUGUUUUGUGGCGGGCCUUCAGAUUCUUGGGUAUUCAACAGAAAAGGGCCCAUUUCAACACGAAAAUCAUACAUUGCCUCUGAUACAGCCUGGGGAUCCUAACCGGAUAAAACUACUUCAAUCCCGGCAAGGGGUAGGGCCGUCUCUUCUUCUUGAAACCCAGUUAUGUCCUUGUAACGACAAACAAGGUACUGCUUGGCUGCAUCUGUCAAAGAUUGAACUGCCUCAACCAUUAGGGCACUGGAAAGAAACUCUAGAUAGAGCAGAUGCAUAUUCAGGUAUCAUGGGUAAGUUCCUUAAGAAUCUGCUGCAGCGCCUCAUACAUGAAGCAACCUCCAGUUUAUUAGAAUCCAGAAGUGCAGCAUCUCAUGAGCCAGGGUUCAAGAAAGCUCCCGAACAAAGCUCCUUUCCGCCAUCUCUAUCUGUUUGCACUAGCUUAUUUGUGUAUCCGCUUUUGAGGAUGGAGACCAUGUUCCUUAGCCUCUCAGAGUUUUCUGGGUGCUUUUCGAGGACGUCCAGGAAGCCAGGGCCCAUUCCAGUGUCGAACACUCCAUUCCCAAUCAUCAGCUAUGAAGUACCCCGUUACCCUUGGCUCUGCAACACCACCUUCUUAACAGAAAUCCAAAUCACUUUUUGUAUCCGAAGCAGUAUUUUCACUACCACUACUGCCCCUUUCUGAAGAUCUGUCAAGGUCAUCAGAUGCGUCACUCCUUGAGCUUGUAAACUUUUUAUUCAAUCAGGAUAAACGUCCUCUGCUUUCUCGAUCGGCUGCACACUCUCCCUAAUCAAAACCAUCAUCGCUUGGAGAACCAGGAAGUUUCACAAACAUCGAAACGGCCCCCAUGAUCGAUUGCCAUUUUGAAAUGCAUAAUAGAAAGAAGAAUUCUCUGCUCGCAUCUCGCUCCAAACAGUCUAACACAAACUAAACCCUUCCACUAAGGGUUCUUUGCCUCAAGUCACCUUCUUCAUCCUUACGCCCACAUGGCGUACACGUGAUUUUCCUCAACCCUGUUCAUGCUCUCUUCUUUUCUUUAGUAAGCUUCUUCUUCAAAGUUUCAGAGUCUUCCCAAAAACACCCAGUCCGGACAGUCAAAACAAAAGCCGAAGUAGCUCCUAUAGGCAUCUCGUCCACUGGGAGCCAUGCAUCGGUAGUAGAAACCAACGCACCACCCUCUCCCCCUCAAGCAAGGUCAGAAUACAAAACCAAACAUCCAAAACGAGUCUAAAAACGUGAACCAGAAGUCAAAAUAUGAGUUGAGAUACCGAAAAUGGAGGAGAAAACAAAACGGGAUAUAGUAUACCCAAUAACAGAGUAAGCAAAGCGAGCCAGGUAACAGGUGGGAUCCCCUUUCAUUUUGAGAUCCGGGGGUUCCGGCCAGUGGUGCAGCAGAGAAGUUUAAAACAAAUAUAAAAAAUGGGAGUGAUCCACACUCGAAUGAAUGAAUACAAAAAGAGAGUAACCCAGCGUCACAUCCACACACAAACGAUCCAUUAGUGCCCCAAAAAAACGAGAUAACUAGAGAGAAUGAGAGAUAAAAGAAAGAAAGAAAACAAAGAUGAGUGAAUGUGAAUAGUCUGAAGAGUUACCACAAAAUCAGCUGGAGAUGCCCUUUCAAAGUCCUUGUCCUCCAAACUCUCAGAAGAAGUCUUUCUCUUACCUUUUGCGUCUCUCCAGAGAGAAUGCUCUCAAGCUCUUUCCAGAAAACUUCCUCUGUUUCUUUUGCUUCUUCUCUCUAAAGCUCUCUGCUACUACUCACAAUGCUCUCCUCAAACUCUCACUUUCUUCUCCUCUCUCGCCCAGGAUCCUCUCGGCAGCUAUCUCUCCCAGCUCAAUCUUCUUGCUCACCCCUCUAGAAAUCCCUCUGCCUCUCUCCUGGAAAAACACUCCAGAACCAGCCUGAUACUCCAGGAAUCCUCUCCACAAAAAAAAUCUCUUCCUCCCUCUCUCUCCAGUUGCUCCCCAGAAAUCCUUCUCUCCUCUAAAGAGAUGAACUCUCCUCUCACUUUUCCCCUCACCCCCAGUGCAACUGCAUCCUCUCUGCCCAAAAAAAACCAAACAAAAUCCUCCCCUCCAGAAAACGCACCACCUCUCCUAUUCCCUCUACAGCCACCUUCCUCUUCUAGGCCGAUCUCCUCCACUACCUCUUUUGCCCCUACGACAAUAUCCCUGGAAAAAGCCCCCUGCAGCCACUACCCUCUGCACCACUACCUUGCUAAUAACAGAAGACGCUCCUCAAGGCAACGGCCUGCAGAUCCUCAUGCCACCUGUCAAACUCUCACUCGCUCCUCAAUUCCACCAUCUGUUUCUAUGACCACCAACCACAAGGCGACACGUGGCCCUAUGGGACUGCGACACAUGGCAAAAAUGGCUGUAGAAAAUGACACCCAAAUGGGGGUCUACAAUAUUUUUUUCAAAAUUCUAAGAGUAAAAUAAUUAAAUACAAAUAAAUAUAAGUAUUGAUAAAUAUUUUAGAAUAAAUUUAGAAUUAUUUUAUAAAUUUGAAAUUUAUUUAUUUAUAAAAUAAUGUGAAUCAUGAACAAAUCUAACACAAUAAGAAAAUACAAUACAAUCAAUUCUUUGCAAAAUCUAUCCACAAAAAACUAAUGUUGUUAGUUUUAUGAGAGUAAGACAAGAAAAUAUUUUAAAAUAAAUUUGAAAUUAAUUUAUUUAUAAAAUAAUGAGAAUUAUGAAUAAAUUCAAUGCAAUACUCAAGAAAAUACAAAUAUAAUAUGAUUCUCUACGAAAUCAAUUCAUAAAAAAUAAUAUUGAUCUUUGUUAAAUAAAUUUCCCUCUCUUUUUUUUUUGUUUGUCCACUACUUCUUAUACGUAAUAAAUCUAAAAUUAUGAUAAACCUAGAAAAAAAUCUAAACUAAGAAUAGGAAUUUUUGACGAAGGUGUCGAGGAUCAUUAUUAUUUCGACACAAGAAAGAGAUGUGGAAAAUUCCUUUCUUGUGUGGAAGACUAGGAAGACGAAUAACCCUUCCUAGAAUCAUUUGUUUCCCUCAUUUCAUUUAUCCUUUGCUUUAUAUUCUACGCUUUAGAAAGGAGGUUAUAGAGGAGGUCAUCAUAGUCCUAAAGAAAGACAUAGAUAACAUUUAUCCAUUGUUUAAGACGGAAGUAAUCACAGUUUAUAUAUUUAUUUUGAAUAAUCAUCUAGAUUUGUAGUUUUUAACUAAUUACUACAAAUAAUUUUUUUUUGAAUCAAAAUUUAUUAAGUAAUAGUUAUUUUCAUUGUAGCCCAUCCUAUUCUUGUGGAUUGGUAAAGAUAACAUUUUAAAAAAAUAAUUAAUAAUUGUGAAUAGUUGAAUUUAUUAUUUUAGAUAAAAAAAAUAGUUGUGUGAGUUAUUUUAUUUUCAAAAUUCUUACACUUCUAUAAGUUAUUGUUUUAAAACUUGCAAGAAGCUAAAUAACUGAAGGAAAAAAAAUAAAUGAUAGUGAAGUUUAAUACACAACUUUUCAUGAAUGAGCAUCAGUAUCAAUCCUUCCAUCUUAAUUAAAGUUAUUUAUGAUAUUAUUAAUUUCUUCUUAACUUUCCAAAUCUCUUCCUCUACCUUCACAUUUAAUUCAUCAAUUUUAAAUUCAUUCAAUGUACUCAUUAAAUCAUUAAAUUCUGAUUCCGAGUUUAUACUUAGAAUAAAACAUAUAUUUUUAAAGGUCAAUGAAAAUAUAUGUUCUAGAAUUAAUUAGUUAAUGAAAAAUAAAAAGGAAAAAUAAUGCUCAAUUGAAAUAUUUUAAAAAGGAAAUAUAAGUGUGGACCCCGUAUUUCUGCUCAUGCGCUUCCCCUUGAUGGCGAGCUCACCUUUUUUAUUUUGAAAAUGAUUUAUAUAUUUAUUUAUUUUUAGAAAAUGACUUAGAGUCGCCACUUAUUUUUGUUUUAUUUUAAAAGGGUAAACAAAAUAAGAAAGAAAAUUUUAAGUGUGACUCCUUAUUUGGAAAAGGCAGUCUGUGAAAAAUCAAAUAUGGGCUCGAGGGCCAGGUUAUUUAUUGGGAAGGUACGGUAAGAACCGUAGCACCCCUCUAAGUCAAUAAAAACGGGUCUUCUUUUGGUAGCUAAAAGCCUCAUCAACAUAUAGGCAAGAACUCGGGCUAUAAAUUGGAUAUUCUUCAUCCUUCAUCCAUGUUCCCAUAUAUAAAUCGCAAUUUUCCAACAUUGAGACAACACCGCCAUUAUCAACCAUUUUAAUCAAAGUUUCAUUAUCAAUGAUAGGGCAUGUAUUCUCUUCCACAACAACCUCGCUGCCAUUGAUCAUAGGAUCCACCGAGUCGCUUUCACUAAUCUGCAAAAUGGGGUUCUUGAAUUGACGUCUCCAAUCCUCUUAAGUCAUUGACAAAUUCCGGUUCUUUUAUGGGUUUUGUCUUAUCUUCAACAGAAACCUCACUGCCAUUGAACCCAGAAUCGAACGACUCAUUCUCAGACAUCUACGAAAUGGGUUUUUGAAUUGAUGACUCCAACCAUCCCGACGAAAUGUUGUUUAUCCCGAAAUGCACAAUAGCAAGAGUCUCAUGCUCGGGUCUAUCAUAGAGCACAACAAUGAUAUCCCUUUACCUUGCAACUAUAACAAUGAAGCCCUCAUUUCCAGAGUAAAAACCAACAAUACUCACCUUUGCCAUUAUCAAACUAAUUUAAUUGAUCCAAUUAGUCUAUUCCUGAUGGGACAACUCGUAACCGACACACGGAAAAUGUCUAAAUCUAAAGAGAAAAUAGGUUGGUAAGUAUGGAGGAUAAGGAAAUGGUGUCUAUGGGAGGAAUAGGUUCGGUGGGCAUGGGUAUGGAAUGAAUUGGUGACGGUGAAGACAUUAAUGGGUAUGGAAGAUAUGGGAUAUGAUUGUCAGGAUGGGUAGUGGGAUAUAGUGUGAGAAACGGGUGGUGAUGUGUUGGGUAUGAAAGGUGGUAAGUAUGAGUGGUGACAGGUAUGUAAAUUUGGAAGAUGAGAAAGGUGGUGAGUAAGAGAAAUGGGUAUGGAUGAAGAUCAUGCAUGCAUGAGGACUGAUGAAUGGGUUGAAGGCAGUGAGUUUAGAAAACGGAAGUAUGGGUAAGGUGAUGGAUAUGAUUAUGGGCAUGGUGGAGCAUGAGGAUAGAUAUGUUGGAGUAGGAAUGGUGUGAGUAUUAUUGGUAGAAUGAGUGGUGAAAAUGUAGUGAGAAAAGUGGUUUGAUGGGUUCGGUGGGUGUGAGUGAAUGGUACAUGGGGGUAUAGUGAGUGAAAAAUGGGUUUGGUGGUGUUUAAAAAAAAUGGUGAUAUGCAUGGUAGCAUGAAGGAUGAGUAUGGAAAUGGGUGUGAGAAGGUGGGCAGUGGGUAUGAGGAUGGUGAGAUUAAUGGUUUUAGGAAGAUGAGAAAGUGGUAUGAGGGGUGGGUAGUGAGAGAAAUGAGAAUUGAUGGGCAUGAAAGAUGGAAAUUGUGGCAAUGAGGGAAAAUGGGUAUGAGAUUAGUGGAAUAGGUGAUGGAGGUAUGGAAAAAUGAAAGGAUGUAGUGAGAUGGGGAGAGAUAGGUGGUGAAUAUGGGAUGGAGUAUGAAAGUUGGAAAAAAAUGAGAUGGGGUGGCCAAAUGUUAGACUUCCAUGAUGUGGGUGGGAAACAAACAGUGGGGCAGCAAGUUGAGUGACAGUUUGGAAUUUCUCAUCACCAAGAGCACGGGUAGCAGCCUUUGCAUUUGAGCAAACAUUUUUUUUUUUUUUUUUUUUUACGUAUGAAGUAAGUGGCCUCUGAAAACAUUUAGCACCAUGAUAACUCUACAUCAUCCUGAUAACGGAUGCACUCUCUCUACAACUUAUUGCAUCAAAUAUUUCAUCAAUCUCACCGGCAUGACUUAUCUCCACCUCCUUUUUGUACUUGAGUUCAGGUUAUCAUAAUUCUACCAAGGUGAAAGUUCUUCAGUAGUAUUUCUCAAACUAAAAGCAUCUUACCCAUCCUUUGAAUCAUGCACAAAUGAAGUAUGCUUUACAAGCACCUCCAAUGCAAUUCUGUGGCCCCCGUUUUAAACCAAUAGAUUGAAGCACAAAUACAAUCAUAGAAAUCCUCCAUUGAGUUCAUUUUCCCCCAUGACCAUACCCAUUGAACCCCAGCAGCUUGGUUAUUGAAGAUUUCACUCCACCAUCAACAAGAAAUAAAGCAAUAAACAGAGGAGGAAAGUCAUAGAAACAGAGCACGAACUUAGCUCUAUUUCAUGGAUUGUCAAAAGAGCUAGUAGUACCGAUCAACAAUAUACAAGAGCAUGAUUUUUACAUAUCAAUUUCAGGGAUGAAGCCAUGCGUCAAAUACUUGCAUGAGGAGUCCAAGAAACCAAGAAAAAAAAAAAAAUAAAUAGAGCAUAUAUGCACACAAAACAGAUUUAACAAAACAAACCAGUAAUCCUUGAUGCCCAAACCAUUCAGUGAAAUCACACCCAGGAAUCCAUAAAAAAGUAGUAUAGUAACGUGAAAAUGAGGAAAUGUGAAGUUUACAGAGGCCUUACCUGGAAGUCUCCUCCCCAAGCAUCAAAUAGCCUGCAACUCUCCCUCUAGAAAAACUUACUCUCCAAGAAAGACCUCUAAAAAAAAUCCCACCCCGUUUCCUUUAUUUCUCUUCUCUGUAGUAGCCUAGAAGAAAUAUCUCCUCACCCUCUGGCUUGCUCUCCAAGAAAGAUGAACCUUCCCAAAAAAAUCUCUCCAAAAAGCAACAAAAUCCACUCUACUACUUAACGACCUCCUUUUCUCCAUAACAGACACGCUGCCUACCAAAAGAACGCUCCCCUGUUGAAUAUUCCCUACACCUGUCUCUUCCCCAUUGCAUCCCUAGAACCACUAAUGAGAUUCUCUAAAGACCAAUCAGGGAUCGACAUGUGGGUACCCAAAAUGGUGACACCUGGCCAAAAUAUUUGCAGGAUAGGACACCCCAAAACGGGGGUCUACAACAAGUGAUUUUCUUUUGUCAUUUUAAUUAAUAGAAACAAAAAAAAUACUCACAUGAUGUCACGAGUAAAAGCUAUUCAAAUUUUUUUUUAGUUAAUAUUUUUCAUUCUUAUUUGUUUUAAAAAGAUAAAACAAUUAAUUACAUUAGAUUCGUUGAAAAAACAAAAUAAAAUGAGAUUUAGAUAUUUGACUUUAUAAAAUUUGUUCAGAAAAGUCUUUUAUUUUCCUAUUUUUAGAAUGUAUGCAUAAGAUGUUUUAUAAUUAUUUGAUAAAUUUUCUAAAAAAGUCAUAAAAGAACUAAAUUAUAAGGAUAAAAAUGAGUCUAAUUCUAUCACUCAAACACUAAACUUAAUGUCAUUAAAAUGAAAUUAUCCUUUUUUUUUGUCUAAAUGAUUUUUAAAAAAUUCUAUUACCAUGGAUUAAAAGGAAUAAAAUAAAAGUAUAUCCAAAAAAAUGAUAGGGACUUGUUGUCCACUAUUAAAUAACAUAUCAUUUAAAUAAUUAUAGGUAUUAGCAAUUACAUGAUUAAACCUAAAAAUCUUAAAAUCAAAUAAAAGAUAACCCACCACUAAAAAAUAUAUACAUUUUAGAUUUUUUUUUUCUAUUGGACUUUUAGAAAAUUUCAAUAUGUAACUAAUAAACUUUGUAUAUUUUUUUUUUAAAUAACCAAAUAUAAACCACUUGAUAACGAUAAUUUUUAUUUAAAGUUAUCUACAUAAUAGGAAGAUAUAAAUCUAAUGUCAUAAUUGAAACUUUGGCAAAAAUCUCAAAACCUAUCACUUGAUAAAAUAUCAAAUAUUUAAAUAAAUUUUUAAUUCUAUUAACAAUUAAAUAGCAUACAUAGUUUAAAUAAUUAUGUAGUUAUUCGUAAAUUAGUAAUUCCAAACAUUUAAAAAUCUCGAAAUGAUAACCUCCCACUAAAAAAAGUAUUUAAUAAAAAAUUAUUUUAUUAUAAUUUAUUUUCUAUGUAUAUAUUAGGAUUUAAAUAAAUUUAACUAUAUAAACACUAAAAGAAAUUUAAAAUAAAAAUGAACAAAUAUUUUAUAAAAUGUAUUUGGUAUUCAUACUUUUAUAAAUUUUUUUACUAAAUUUAUUCUUUUCACACACAAAUUUAGUCUAAGGGAUAAACUUGCAAUGUUUGGUUUAUUAACUUUUCAAAUUUCUUAAAUAAAUAAAAACAAAUCAUUAUUUAUAAAUUUGAUAUCAAACACUAUCACAACUACUUUGACAAUUUUUACCAUAUUUUUUUCAACUAGACUAUUGUUAAUUUAAAGGGAAAAUAUGGUAGAUAAUGAUACAUAUAAGAGAUUUAGAAUUAAAUAAAAGAAAAAAACAUAUUAAUAAAAAAAAAUAGAAAAGAAAGCAAGUCUAUCUACAAUAAUAUUGAGGAAAAUUAACGAACCUUGAAAAGAAAAAAGUAGAAUAUUCUUCAACUGAAAUUUAGUAUACUAAUAUAAUAACCAUAAUAAUCUAUUGUAAUUUAACAGACUAAUACAAUAAUCAUGUACUACAAUUUAACGCACUAAUAUAAUAACCAUCUCAUGAUAGAGAUCCUCUUAAAUAUAAAACAAAACAAAAUAUAUCUUAUCGAGAGACUUGAGAAAAAAAGGGAAAAAAAUACCAAUAAAAUGUUGGCAUUGUUAAAAAAUGAUAUUUACAAAUGAAAAAUUCAAAACUCACAAAUGAAAAAUAUAAGUGUAGCUUCUCUUGCAUGAAGAAGAAAAAGACACAACAAUCACAAGUAUAGUUGAGACUGAAGAAGAGAAUAUAAAUAAUUGUGUAACACUUAGUACUAAUGAAUUAAAUAGGCAAUAAUGAUUAUUUUAGUACUUAACUUUAAGCUUACUUAAUUAGAUGUUAAAACUAUUUUAGUGCUAAUCAUGUUUAAUUAUGAAUUAAACUUUGAUUAAGGUUAAGUGAGAUUAGUUAAUGAUCUAAGCAUGCUUAUUAGGUUCUUAGGGACUAAUUAGGGUUAUGAAAACCUAAAGGACUAAUGGGCAAUUAUGGGUUUUAUUUUUGAUAACUUGAAGGACUAAAGUGCAAAAUUGGGAAAUUGGAGUUAGUGG
RNAcentral lists this long non-coding RNA (86036 nucleotides) under Vitis vinifera (wine grape). RNAcentral's name for it is "long non-coding RNA (VVIN_LNC004652)". Lineage: Eukaryota; Viridiplantae; Streptophyta; Magnoliopsida; Vitales; Vitaceae. The record is from RNAcentral.